UUGCAGGUUUGCACUAUCCACUUUGUUUUGGUAGUUAGCCCGAGUAUUAAAUUCUUGAGGCGUGUAAGGUAGUGGACUUUAGCCAAUUCAAGAGUAGAAUAUAAUAUGUUUACUUGUUUUGAUCUUAAUCUUUAAUCACUUACCCUGAAUAAGAAAUAAUUUUUUAUAUUUGCUCUGCUAUGAUGUUAUUCGGUGUUAAUAGCUUCGUUUUGUUGCUCUUUUCCGCACAGAUUCUUGAUCUCAAAAGAACUUUUAUUUUGAAUAUUCUGCAUCAGGACAAUCUGAUUUAAUACCAUCAGUGAUUUUUCAUUUUUUCUCUUUAGUUUUAAUAUGUUUGAUAACUGUAUGGUUAAGCAAUCUAUGCAAUUUUAUCUUGUCGUAUGUUUGAGCUCAUUUUUUGUUGCAAUUCUGAAUAUUUGGUAUUAAUUAUGUGAUAUCGGACGAUACUAUUAACUUGUUAAUUGCUUAAAUCUAAUAUCUUGUCAAAGUCACUAAUAGCAUUUCAUCAUGCAAUGAGUUAAACAUGGAACAAAUGAUGACAUGCGGUUGUGGAAUGUGGUAGGUCUCUGGGAUUCUAUGUCCUUAUGCUUGCAGGGCAACACAAUACAUUCGUUAAAACAUUGAAGACUGUGAUGUCCGCAGAAAAUUAUAUGUCAACUUAUGCACCAGGCAUGAUGAAAUUAGCCAAAGACAGUGCUUGGAAGUGGCAAGCAAGUGACAAUUUGCUUCUACCAAUGACUUCAGAUCUCAAACCUGUUUCAAGCAAGGCCAGCAAUGACAUCAUGUUCAAAACAGUUUAGCCAGACACCUGUUCGCACCCCUCUACUACAUAUAACCUAGAGGUACAUUUUUUCUUUACAUUCUUUCUAUUCGAUUGGCAUUAGACUUAUCCAGUUCAAUACAGUAUUUCACAAAACUUAUACCAACUUAUUCCUGAUUAUAGUGGACACAAUUAACUUACUUUGGCAAUUGUUCUGAAGAGGCUGACAUCAACUACCAGUGAUGACACUCUCUUGUAAUGUUUUGGUGCUAUCUACUAAAUAUUACUACUACAUAAUAUUGACAAUUCGUCUGUGUGCAGGCCCGUGAUAACCAUUUAGAUCGACCAGAUAAAGGACUUGGACAUCAACAAUUUACCCAGAAACCAAUAAGAUAUUGUAAUCACAAGCAAUCACCCAUCUCUUUGGAUGGUGCUCUAUUGUGAUUCUUUCCUCUAUGACUGUUAAAUAAGCAAUGUAUUGCACUUUUGUUAUGCAAAAGUAUGGCGACCAUGUAUCAACCUGUGUAUCUAUUUUAUACACUAAUUAUGAAUUACUAGAAAUUUUAUUACAUUAAUCAUUUUUAGAUAGCUGCUCAUCUCAAACGAAAUAAACUGUUCAGGGACGCUUGACCCAACAUGCUUGUGACCGACCUUAGAAUAAAUUUUUGUCACUCAAUAUAGACAACUUCUACGAGAUUAAUAUUUUUUCAAAUUUCAACAAAAUCAAUGGCCACAGGAAUACAUACACAUGUUUCCGUUGGCAUGUUAAGUAGACGGGAACAACAUGUGGGCUAUGUACGCCAUUACCUUAAACGAAGCAAAAUUAUCUUGUGUUUAUCAAAGUUUGAAACCAAUUCUGUGCUUACAAAGAAUGUAUGAAUAACGCAUUAUACUCAUACACCAAACUUUAAUCUGAUGGAAUCAAGUAAUUCUGUGUUAAUCAAAGUUUUUAGACUUACAAGAUGAUGGUCAAGUUUAUAUAAAAGCAAAUAACACUGAAAUCUAAUCAUCCUAUACAAACAAAUAUGAUUUAUUCAAUUAUAGCAAACAAUUGUUUUAUCGGAGUUAAUUACAUUAUUGCUAAACUUGUAUAAGCUUUCCUGUUUCAAACAUAUCUACUUAAUUACAUUAUUCAUCGAUAAUGUUACUUUGCCCGUGGAAGUUUCAUUUUUUCAUACCUUAAUCACUAUUUAACGCUUCGUUUUCCAAUAGUUCUAAUUCUUCAAAUUUUGAUUUUAUUCUUCCAUAAUUAUAAAUUGAUACUGAUUCGCAGGACUCAAAUUAAAGUGGUUAAUUACUCUAAAGUAUAAAUCUAGCAGUCAAUAAUUACAUAAAAAUAAUUGCAAAAAAAAAGUUAAUAAGGAAUAGUAUAAAUUUAAAAACUGCCAAAGUUACGAGAUAUAUGCUUGAUAUUUAAAUCAUGGCCAUAAUACUUUCUCACAUUAUAUAUAUAUAUAUAUUAUGUGAUUCAGUUCUUUAAUUAACCACUCUAUGAAUAAAUAUGAGAAUUAAGUACAUAUUAUGCCACAACCUUAUUGAAGUGUUCCCACUACAAUAUUAGUAGUCAACAUUAGGUAUUUAGGUCUAAACACCCACAUAAAUCCAAGGGAUCUAGAUCUACAAAUAUUAACCACUCUAUGAAUAAACAUGGGGAUGAAGUAUAUAAUUGCCACGGCCAUAUUGGAAUGUUUCCACUACCAUAUUCGUGUGUCAACGUUGCGUCUAAACAUUUAUAUACAUCCAAGCAAAUUUAUAUUUGUAAAUAAAUAUAAAAUAUGGAAUGAAAAUCAUCAGUAGAAAAUAUAAAUUACAAACAAUAAACUAAAAAUACAUUUGAGAAAGUAAUUAAAUCCACAAUUUAGAUCCUUGAAUUUCACACUCAUCACCUUAGCUUAAAACAUUAGCCACUCAUAUUAAUAAACAAAGAGUGAUGAUAGAGCCACAAACUCUUGUACAAAUUUAUCUUGUACAAACUGACGUGGCAUUAAUUCAUUGGUUGAAUAAAAAUAUAAAAUAAUAAAAAUAAAUCAUGUGGGUCAAGUGAUAUUUAAUUCAACCAAUCUUAUCAUGCCACAUGAGUUUGUACAAAAUAAAUUUGUACAAGAGUUUGUGGCUCUAUCAUUACUCAUAAACAAAACACUCAUUUUAUUUUAUAAAUUUGUAAAAGUAUAAUACAAGAAAAAUUAAAAUAAAGAAGAAGAGAAAAAAAAAAUCUCUUCUUAUUAACUACACUUCUUCAUAAAAUUCACUCUAAAUUUACACUAAAUUUCUCUAGGAAACUCACCUCUAAAAUUCUACACCCCGAAUUAUCAAAUCUCUUGCCUUUAUAUAGGCAAAUUCUAGGUUGAUCAUGUGUGGGCAUUUAGAUGAUAUUUUUGGUGAACUUGCAACCACAACCCUUAGAUGACCUUUGAUAAUCCAAAUACAAGCCAAGGGGUCCAAAAUUGCAAGUAUUGACAUGCAUAAUAAAACGGUUGAUUCAACAUAAUCAAUGGUUAUAAUGAAGUCAAAUCUGGAUCCUCCGUUGGAAUUUUUUUUUUUUUUAAUUUAAGGUGAUUGAACCACUAAAUUGAUAAGUAUUAAAUCUAGUAUAAAGAAAUGCAUGUGAACUUAGACACACAGCACAAUAUCAUCUUUUCAUAAUUAAUGUUAAAUAAAACGGCUAUCAAUUCUUUUAAAAGUUAAAAUUAUAAUUUUUACCUUUAUUUAGAUAUAUACUUUCUAAUAUUAAUCAUUGAUGACCAAUUUUUUAUUUCAUCGCCGUCUAGAUUGCUUUUAUCUUACACAAAUUUGUUUAAAACCUUGAAAUAGUUUCUAACCACUACAUAAUUUUAUCUGUCGUCCUUAAUAUUGUUAUCCACAACUGACCAACAUAUUGUUACCUACCAUUAUAGUUGUGUAAUUCACCUUUUGUUAACUGACUUCACUAAUAUAUUUUAAAAGAAACGUGGCCAUCUGUUGCUCGUUGGAUCACUUGCUUUUAAAUCCAAUAAUUCCGUGAGAUAAAGACAAAACGCUUGCUAUAGCGCUACAGUUACAACAUAGACGUGGCUGUAGAGGCAAAAAAAAAAAAAUCUAUUUGUUUAGUCACUGUACACUUUUUCAUUCAUUUUGUCCACUUCCAAAUCCUCGAGACAAACAACGCAAAUAAAAAAAGAUUUUAAGAAAUUUGAUGCCUUGUUCGCCGAAUCUCUCCACUUUUAAUUAUUGUCGUGAUCCUGAUCGUGUGAUCUGGUAAUGGUAUGAGUCGGACCAUUAGUAUUCCUCCAAAAUCCUAUUUAAACUCUUUUUAUAUAUAUCUCCUUAUCUUAUAUGUAUAUAAAAUAUAUUCCCUUCACAUAAGAAUCUCACAAUAUUAUUUAUGUGAGAAAAAUAUAUCUUAUAUGUAUUUAAGAUAAGGAUUGUCUUUUAUAUAUUGUGCAAGUAAAAUAAAAUUUUAUAUUGUGUAAGUAAAAUAAAAUUGAGGAGAGAAAGAAAAUAUAAAUUCUUUAAUUUAAUUUAUAUUUAUUUUUAAAUAUAAUUAUAAUAUAAUAAAAAUUUUAUUAGAUUAAUGAAGAGGUGCCAAUAGUCCAACUCAUUAUAUUUUUUAUAAUAAACAAUUGAAAAAUAUGUUUGGACCGAAAUUCACAAUUUUCACCACAUGAUUUAUAGCACACAUAAUUCAUAAUUUUCUCCACACGAUUUAAUACCAACCCUCUUCAUGGACUCCACUUUUGAGAAGGACGUUACCCACCAACACGAGUAACCCAAAAAAAAACCUUCUUUCCCCUUCUGCUUUUAUUCUCAAUCUCUUUGUCACUUUGUUUUUUUUUUCCCUCUCUAUGAUAUUUAAAUGAUUAUAAAUAUUUCUUUGAUUUUAUAAAUUAUUUUCAAUUUUUUUAUUGUUAUUUUUUAAUAAAAUUUUUUAAACUAAAUAAAUUAUUUUAUUUCUACUAAUAAAAUUUUAAAUUUUAAAAUUUUAAAAUUUUAAAAGUAGAGAUUAAGUUUUUUAAGAUAUUAAAAUAUUUAAAAUAUCUUUUAAAUAUUUAACAAUUUUAUUUUUAUUAAAUAAUUUUAAAAUUUUAUUUAUUAAAAUAAUUUUAUAAUUUUUAAUAAAAAAAUUUAUUAAUAAAAAUGUUUUAAAUAAAUUUUAUUUAAAAUUUUAUACCAAAUGAAUCACAAGGCAAAAACACUGCACUUACCUAUCCAUACUGAUUAAACCCCCUCGCCGACACCUCUGCUCUCACCAUCAAGGCAUCAACACUUAAUAAUGACAAUUGGUUGUGUUUGCAUUUUGGUCAAAAUGCUGGACACCCCCCCCCCACCCAAAAAAAAAAAAACAAACAAAAAAAAUUUUAUGAUAAUAAUUAACAUUCAUAAAUAAAAAUAUUAAUAAUGGGUGUGUUAGCAUUUUGGUCAAAAGCCGAUUUGGCCUUCACAUUAAUUGGAAUUUUGGAUCUAUAAUAAGAUUUUCACCGAAAAGAUAAUUUUGCCGCUAAUUAUUAUUUGGGUAGUCAGAAAAUAAUAACAAAAAAAUGUUAUCUCUCACCUAUAACUUGAGGAGAUAAUAAUAAAAGUCUUUCAUCAUACUCUACUGUUAGUUUCUCUUCAUUGUUUUCCCCUUUGAAGUCUUUCAACAAAAAUGGGUGGCAUCAUCUCAACCUUCUUCUCAGCGGACACAAUUCGUCCAAUUUUAUUUUACGUCGGUGGACAAGCAAAGUAUAUAUGGGGUCUUAAAGGUAAUCUCGAUGACUUGCAAACUGAAACGGAGAACUUGAUUGCGAAAAAACAAGAUCUGCUGAAUAAGGUUAGGCUUGCUGAACAAACACAGCCUCGUGGCCAACGGACGAGCACGGUGAAACUCUGGUUCGAAAGGGUGGAUCGAAGUGUAACUCUUGUUGAGGGGCUGCAACAAGAAAGAGAUCAAGAGAUUGACAGAUUGUGUCUUGGAGGCUUCUGUUCCAAGGACUUGAUUUCAAGCUACGACUUCGGCAAAAAGGUGGAGAAGUUGAAGGAAGAAGUAAUCAAAUUGAGGGAAAAAGGAGAAGCGAUGAAAGAAGUUUAUGAGGGGGUACCAGAAGGUGCAGCGGUUGCAAUAGCUGUUGACCGAACAAUUGUUGGUCAAGAAUCAAUACUUGACCAAGUUUGGAGAUGCAUCACUGAUCAAGAAAAGAAUGAGGGAAUUAUUGGCUUAUAUGGUAUGGGGGGCGUCGGCAAAACUACUCUGUUAAACCAAGUCAAUAACAAAUUCUGCGGUGAUGAACAGCAUCAUUUUGAUGUCGUUAUCCGGUCGGUUGUAUCUAGAGAGCCAAACAUGAAGCAGAUUCAAGAGGAUAUUGGGAAAAGGAUAGGCUUCUCAAAAAAUUCAUGGCAGGAUAAAAGUUUUGAAGAAAGGGCUUCAGACAUCACCAACACUUUAAAGCAUAAGAAGUUUGUAUUGUUAUUGGAUGAUAUAUGGGAGUCCGAAAUUGAUUUAACCAAAUUGGGCGUCCCUCUUCAGACACUAGAUUCUGGGUCCAGAAUAGUCUUCACAACUCGUUUUGAGGGUACUUGUAGUAAAAUGGGAGCCCAUAAGAAUCGGUACAAAGUGUUUUGUUUGGGAGAUGACGAUGCCUGGAAAUUAUUUGAGGGGGUGGUCGGGAGAUACGUUCUUAACAAGCAUCCCGACAUUCCGAAGUUAGCCGAGGAUGUGGCACGUCAGUGUCAUGGUUUGCCGCUAGCACUCAAAACAGUAGGUAAUGCCAUGGCGAGCAAAGUGUACCCUGAAGAAUGGAAAGAAGCAAUUGAGAUCCUAAGCGCAUCAGCUUCUAAAUUCGAAGGUAUGGAGAAAAAGGUGCUUUCGAGCUUAAAGUUCAGCUAUGAUAGUUUGCCGAAAGAUGAACUUCGAUCUUGUCUCCUGUACUGUUGUUUAUUUCCCGAAGACUAUGAAAUUGAAAAAACCGACUUGAUGGAGUAUUGGAAAAGUGAAGGAUUUGUGGAUUCCAGCAGCGGGUGGGGGGUUCUUGGUGCUCUCGUUCGGGCAUGCUUAUUGGAGGAAGCAGGUGAUCGUGUAAAAAUGCACGAUAUGAUCCGUGACAUGGCAUUAUGGAUAGCAAAUGAAGUAGAGGAGGAGGAGGAGAACUUUUUGGUUCGUGCAGGAGUUGGAUUAACUGACGCCCUAAAGAUUGAAGAAUGGGAAGGGGUCAAAAGGAUAUCCUUGAUGCAGAACAAAAUUCAAAGUCUACCACAAAUUCCCACUUGUCCGCGUCUCCAGACUUUGCUUCUAAAUCGAAAUCAUAUUGCGAAGAUCACUGACAGUUUCUUUCAAUCUUUGCCUUAGCUUAGAGUUUUGAAUCUAAGUGAAAAUUAUUCCCUGACUGAACUACCUGUGGGGAUUUCAAGUCUGGUUUCAUUACACCAUCUUGAUCUGUCUUCUACUAAAGUACGUGGAUUGCCGCAAGAGCUCAAGGCAUUGGUGAAUCUGAGAUAUUUGAACUUGGAGUAUACAAAUGAAAUGAGGAAAAUUCCACAGCAGCUGAUAUCAAGCUUUUUAAAGUUACAGGUACUCAGGAUGCUGUGUUGCGGUCAAAGUCACCAGCCAAUAGUGGAAGAAGGCAACGUUCUAUCUGAUGAUGCUGAAUCAUUGAUGAAGGAAAUCCACUGUUUGGAACAAUUAAAUAUCAUCACCUUGUCCUUACGUGGUUCGCGUGGUGUUGAAAACUUUCUGAAAUUCCCAAAGCUGCAGAAUAUCACUCAAGCUCUGCACAUCAAAGACUGCAACAGUCUACCGCUCAAUUUGUUGCAUCUAGCAAACAUGGAGCAUCUUGAGGAGUUAGAUAUCGAGGAUAGUAAUUUGGAAGACUGGAAUGUCGACUGCGCGGGAGAGGUACAAAAAAUGCGUAAACUUCACUCGGUUGUCAUACGGAAUUGCUCAAAUGUGAAGGACUUGACGUGGCUUGUUUUUGUUCCAAAUCUCAAGUGGCUGCAAAUAUUUCAUUGUGAUGACAUGGAAGAAAUAAUCAGUGUUGAAAAAUUGAGUGAAGUUUCAGAGAUGAUGGGAGAGCUUAACUUGUUCGCAAAACUCGAACUUCUGAUAAUAAAAAAUGCAAGUAACUUGGAGCGCAUCUACCGCGAUCCCUUGCCCUUUCCACAGCUGGAGACAAUUUCCAUAUCGCUAUGCCCAAAGUUGAAGAAGCUCCCGCUCAAUUCCAGCAGCGCAAAGGGACGUAAAAUUGCCAUUUACGGGGAGAGAAAAUGGUGGGAAGAGCUACAAUGGGAGGAUCAAGCCACUCAAAAUGCUUUCUCGCCCUGUUUCCUACCUUUAAGAAUAAUGAAGGGCAAUAAGGAGCAAGAGUGUGAAUAAAAUUGCUGCGUGUGCUUAAUAAUUUUUUGGUUGCCAAUGAGAUUUUUUAUUAAAAUUUAUAGAAUUACUUUAAUAGGUAAAUUUCUUAAAGUUAUGUUAUGAAAUGAAUAAAAUAAAAUUGUGAAAUAUAUAAAGCAUAUUUUAGACAAUAUAAUAUUUUAACCUCUACUCCACAAAAUUUAAAAUUUAAACUUUUAUUAGUAUAGAUAAAAUAACUUAUUUAAUUUUUUAAAAAUUUUACUCAAAUUAUAAUUAAAUAAUAUUAAGUUUAAAAAAAAGUUAAAAAAUUAAAUAAAUAUAUUUGACUGAACAUACACUAACUUGAACUCUUGAAAAAUAAAUAUUUCGUGCCACAUCGGUAGGGUCCAAUUAUGUUGUAACUAAGGUAUUAUACCACAGUUCCUCUUUUUUUUCCCGUAUUAUUAGAUAAUUGAUGCAAAUUAAGCAAAGUUGUUGGGUGCUUCUCGUUCAAUCUAGCGGCUGAAAUUAAUUAUUGGAUAAUUGAUGCAGCGACUAGCAACCGCUGCAGCCGGUGUAUAUUAAUUUAAUAGCAGUUCAACGAGUGUGGGUUUCGAAAAUUUCUUAGUGCUAAUUAGAGUUUCACUGAUUUCAUCUGAAAAUUGAUCUCGAGACAGCAAUUAAGACAUAAAAUUAGAAUUAGAGGGUCGCAGUUUUUUUGGGAAUUAAAAUUUCCCGAUGAUUCAUACAUGAAUAUGGCCUCUCACUUGUAGGGAAUUGACGGUGAAAUUAUAAUCGUCACAGCAGAAUGCAAUCGAAAGUUACGGUGCUAAAAGUUUAGGCAUAUAUCAAAUUAGAGUGAAUCUCACGUCACUUUGAUUUGGUCUUGUGCCGAUCGAAUCACCUGAUGCAGUAUGUAAUUCCUUAUUAAAACUCGCAAUUUUUUAUUUUGAAAAGAUUUAAAACUUGUAAUUUCAUUACAGAAAUGAGGCGGGGGCUCACAAACAGAAAGCUAGCGAUUUAAAGAGUCGCGAUCAAGCUUUAGAAGCCGAUGGUAACAUAGUUAGAACAAUAGAAUCUGAUAGCCAUUAGGGAUUCAUAAGCUACUUGUAAGUAUUUGUACUCCCUGACUAAAUAAUUUGGGAAUAUAAGGAUGCAAUAAGAGUUGAGUGGUCUUUAUUCCCAUAGCAUUAUUUUUUUCUCGCUUCAUCCGUGCUCUAUUCAAUCUUUAUGUGCCGCUUGUGUUAUGUUCCUGCAUAUCUAAUUACCUUUAGCUGCUUGUGUUAUGUUUACUUGUUUUGAUCUUAAUCUUUAAUCACUUAGCCUGAAUAAGAAAUAAUUUUUUAUAUUUGCUCUGCAAUGAUGUUAUUCGGUGUUAAUAGCUUCGUUUUGUUACUCUUUUCCGCACAGAUUCUUGAUCUCAACAGAACUUUUAUUUUGAAUAUUCUGCAUAAGGACAAUCUCAUUUAAUACCAUCAGUGAUUUUUCAUUUUUUUUCUCUUUAGUUUUAAUAUGUUUGAUAACUGUAUGGCUAAGCAAUCUAUGCAAUUUUAUCUUGUCGUAUGUUUGAGCUCAUUUUUUGUUGCAAUUCUGAAUAUUUGGUAUGAAUUAUGUGAUACCGGACAAUACUGUUAACUUGUUCAUUUCUUAAUUUUAAUAUCUUGUCAAAGUCACUAAUAGCAUUUCAUCAUGCUAUGAGUUAAACAUGGAACAAAUGACGACAUGCAGUUGUGGAAUGUGGUAGAUCUCUGGAAUUCUAUGUCCUUAUGCUUGUAGGGCAACACAAUACAUUAGUUAAAACAUUAAAGACUAUGAUGUCCGCAGAAAAUUAUAUGUCAACAUAUGCACCAGGCAUGAUGAAAUUAGCCAAAGACAGUGCUUGGAAACAAUUAACUAACUUUUGGCAUUAGGCGUAUCAAGUUCAAUUCGGUAUUUCACAAAACUUAAACUAACUUAUUCCUAAUUAUAGUGGACACAAUUAACUAACUUUGGCAACUGUUCUGAAGAGGAUGACUUCUUCAGGAUGACAUCAACUACCAGCGAUGAUACUAUCAGUAAGCUGCUUCUGCUAUCUAUUAAAUAUUACUGCUAAACGUAAUAUUGACAAUUUGUCUGUGUGCAGGCCUGUGAUAACCACUUGGAUCGGAUAAAGGACUGGGACAUCAACAAUUUGCCCAGAAACCAAUAAGAUAUCAUUGUAAUGUUUAAUUAUACAUGUAUUAGUUUCUCUUUGGAUGGUGCUCUUUGUUAUGCAAAAGUAUGGCGACUAUGUUUCAACCAGUGUAUCUAUUAUAUACACUAACUAUGAAUUACUAGAAAUUUUAUUACAUUAAUCAUUUUUAGAUAGCCACUCAUCUCAAACGAAACAAACUGGUCAGAGACACUUGACCCAACAUGCUUGUGAUCGACCUUAGAAUAAAUUUUUCUCACUCAAUAUAGACAACUUCUGUGAGGUUAAUAUUUCUUCAAAUGUCAAGAAAAGCAUUGGCCACAUGAAUGCAUACACAUGUUUUUGUUGGGAAGUUAAGCAGACGGGAACAACAUUGGGCUAUAUACACCAUUACCUUAAAUGAAGCAAAAAUAUCUUGUGCUUAUCAAAGUUUGAAACUAAUUCUGUGCUUAUCAAGAAUCUAUUAAUAACACAUUAUACUCAUACACCAAACUUUAAUCUGAAUGAAUCAAGUAAUUCUAUGUUAAUCAAAGUUUUUAGACUUAUACGAUGAGGGUCUAGUUUAUAAAAAUGCAAAUAUCACUGAAAUCUGAUAAUCCUUUACAAACAAAUAUGAUUUAUUCAAUUAUCGCAAACAAUUAUUUUAUCAAAGUUAAUUACAUUAUUGCUAAACUUGUAUAAGCUUUCCUGUUUCAAACAUAUCUACUUAAUUACAUUAUUCAUCGACAGUGUUACUUUGCUUGUAGAAGUUUCAUUUUUUCAUACCUUAAUCACUAUUUAACGCUUCGUUUUCCAAUAGUUAUAAUUCUUCAAAUUUUGGUUUUAUCCUUCCAUAAUUAUAAAUUGAUACUGAUUCGCACGACUCAAAAAAAAGUGGUCAAUUACUCUAAAAGUAUAAAUCUGGCAAUCAAUAAUUACUUAAAAAUAAUUGCAAAAAAAAAUUAAUAAGGAAUAGUAUAAAUUUAAAAACCGCUAAAGUUACGAGAUCCAUGCUUGAUAUUUAAAUCAUGGUCAUAAUACUCUCUCACACACACACAUAUAUAUGUAACCACUUUUAAUAUUAUGUGACUUAGUUCUUAAUUAACCACUCUAUAAAUAAAUAUGAGAAUUAAGUACAUAUUAUGCCACAACUUUAUUGGAGUGUUCCCACUACCAUAUUAGUAGUCAACAUUAAGUCUAAACAUCCACAUAAUAUUUUUGGUGAACUUGCAACCACAACCUUUAAAUGACCUUUGAUAAUACAAAUACAAUCCAAGGGGUCCAAAAUUGCAAGUAUUGUCAUGCAUAAUAAAACAGUUCAUUCAACAUAAUCAAUGGCUAUAAAGAAGUCAAAUCGGGAUCCUCCAUUGGAUUUUUUUUUUUAAUUAUUCAAGGUGGUUGAAUCACUAUAUUGAUAAGUAUUAAAUUUACUUAAUUUAGUAUAAAGAGGACACACAUCAACUUUUCAGAAUUAAUGUUAGAUAAAACGGCUACCAAUAUUUUUGUAAAAAUUAAAAUUAAAAUUUUUACUUUUAUUUAAUAUAUACUUUCUAGUAUUAAUCAUUGAUGAACAAUUUUUUAUUUCAUCGCCGUCUAGAUUGCUUUUAUCUUAUACAAAUUUGUUUAAAACGUUUAAAUAGUUUCUAACCACUAUAUAGUUUUAUAUGUCCUUAAUCUUGUUAUCGACAACUGACCAACAUAUUGUUACCUACCAUUAUAGUUGUGUAAUUUACCUUUUGUUAACUGACUUCACCAAUAUAUUUUAAAAGAAACGUGGCCAUCUGUUGCUCGUUGGAUCACUUGCUUUUAAAUCCAAUAAUUCCAUGAGAUAAAGACAAAACGCAUGCUAUAAUGCUACGGUUACAACAUAGACGUGGCCGGAGAGGUAAAAAAAAAAAAAAAUGUAUUUGUUUAGUAACUGUACACUUUUUCAUUCAUUUUGUCCACUUCCAAAUCCUCCAGAGAAACAACGCAAAUAAAAAAGAUAUUUAAGAAAUUUGAUGCCUUGUUCGCCGAAUCUCUCCAUUUUUAAAUAGUGUCGUGAUCCUGAACAUGUGAUAUGGCGCCUAUGUUACAUUUGAGUCGGACCAUUAGCAUUCCUCCAAAAUCUUAUUCAAAUUCUUUUUUUAAUUAUAUUUUAUUUAAUAUUAAAAAUAUUUUUUUUUACUCUUUCAGUCUUAAUAUUUAUAUUUUUCUCUUUAAUUUUUUUAUUAUUUAAUUUUUAAAGAAAAUAUCUAAAAAAAGUAAGAAAAACAUUAUAUUUAAAAAAUAAUGAAUAUUUUAUGGAUUUAAUACAAUUUUAUCCUACUUAUAAAUUUUGAGUUUAUUGGGUUCAACAAUUAGUUUGAGAAUCCUUAAAAAAUUAGUUGCAUUAUUUAAUUUGUUUUUACCCUAUGUUGUAUCUUAAUUAAAUUAUUAUAUUUAUUACAAGAAUUUUAUUUUGGCUUAGAGGAUUACUUCUUAAAUUCAAAUUAUUUUAAUGAUAACAAAAAAUUUAUAUUGUGCAAGCAAAAUAAAAUUGAGAAGAGAAAGAAAAUAUAAAUGGUUUAAUUCUAUUUAUAUUUAUCCUUAAAAUAUAAUUGUAAUGUAAAAAGAAUUUUAUGAGAUUAAUGAAGGGGUGCCGAUAGUCGAACUCAUUAUAAUUUUUGUAACAAACAAUUCAAGAAUAUGUUUGGACCGAAAUUCACAAUUUUCACCACAUGAUUUAAAGCACACAUAAUUCAUAAUUUUCUCCACAUAAUUUAAAACCAACCCUCUUUCUGGACUCCACUUUUGAGAAGGACGUUACCCACCAAUACGAGUAACCAAAAAAAAAAAAAAAAGGAACCCUCUUUCCCCCUCUGCUUUUAUUCUCAAUCUCUUUGUCACUUUGUUUUUUUUUUUCCUCCUCUCUCCAUGAUAUUUAAAUGAUUGUAAAUAUUUCUUUCAUUUUAUAAAUUAUUUUCAAAUUUUUUAUUGUACUUAGUUAUUUUUUAAUAAAAUUUUUAAAAUUAAAUAAAUUAUUUUAUUUCUACUAAUAAAAUUUUAAAUUUUUAAAAGUAGAGAUUAAAUUUUUUACGAUAUUAAAAUAUUUAAAAUAUCUUUUAGAUAUUUAACAAUUUUAUUUUUAUUAAAUAAUUUUAAAAUUUUAUUUAUUAAAAUAAUUUUAUAAUUUUUAAUAAAAAAAUUUAUUAAUAAAAAUGUUUUAAAUAAAUUUUAUUUAAAAUUUUAUACCAAAUGAAUCAUAAGGCAAAAACACUGCACUUACCUAUCCAUACUGAUUAAACCCCCUCGCCGACACCUCUGCUCUCACCAUCAAGCAUCAACACUUAAUAAUGACAAUUAUUUGUGUUAGCAUUUUGGUCAAAAGUUGGACCCCCCCCCCCCCCCCAAAAAAAAAAAACAAAAAAUUUUUAUGAUAAUAAUUAACAAUCAUAAAUAAAAAUUAGGGAAAAUGACAUUCAACCCACAACGUUUAAGAAAAUGGAUAAAAAAAUCCUCUUCAACGUUUUAAAAAGGAUUUAUAAUCCCCUUUCAGUUAAUAAAUACCGUUUGUUUUAACAAUAAAUAUAUUUUUAAUUUUUAAUUUUUAAUUAUUAUUAUACUCUUAUAAUAAAUAAAUUAAUAUAUUAAUUUGAGAUAUAUCACAAUUAACAAAUGUCAUCUAGCUAGCGUGGGUUGGAAUCGUUCUUUUAAGUUUUGACCAAAUCAAUAAAGUAUGGUUUAAAAAAAAAAACUCUCGAUUCUUUAAUCAAAUGUGCAAUAAAUAUUAACUAAUUCACUAGCACUCAUCUCAAACCAAAAUAAACUAAUAAAAAAAUCAUUAAUUUUCAGCACCAAAACGAAGUAUCAUGACAAACAAGAAACAACUCAGCCACCUACAUACCCAAAACCCCAAAAAUCCAAAACUUAUACACCAAGAAGCCCAAAAAAAAGCCGUAUAAUUCUGGUUCAAUAUUUGAACAUAGAUUCUUUUCAUGAUAAUGAAAUCAUUUAUAUUUAUUUUUAUAAUAAAAAAUUACAAAAAGAUAAAAAAGAAAAUUAGCAACUGCACUACGAUGAACAUGGAUACUAACCAAAACUUCUUCCAAAGAACAUGUUAACCUUUAUCUCUCACUAUAAGUGUCGCCGUCAAGUCAAUCUAGUGUAAUGGUUUUGAUUCCUCAAAGAAAAAGGGUUUAAUCAAAUUUCGUUUUAUUAGUAAUAAUCACAUAUGAAAUGUUUGAUCAUUAGAAAGGUAUAAUUUAUAGCAAAUAAUUUGGGCAAAAAUAUAAUUGUAUCUCAAUUUUUAAUUUUAAAAAAAUUAUUAAUUGUGACAUGUCUCAAAUCAAUAUAUUAAUUUAUAUUUAUUAUAAAGGUAUAAUAGUAAUUAAAAAUUAAAAAUAAAUUUACUAUUAAAAUAAACGGUGUUUGUUAACGAAAAAGAAAUUAUAAGUUUUUUUUUAAAACGUUGAGAAGUUUUUUAUCUCUUUUUUUAAAAGUUGCCUUUUCCCUAAAAAUUAAUAAUGGGUGUGUUAGCAUUUUGGUCAAAAGCCGAUUUGGCCUUCACAUUAAUUGGAAUUUUGGAUCUAUAAUAUGAUUUUCACCGAAAAGAUAAUUUUGCCGCUAAUUAUUUGGGUAGUCAGAUAAUAAUAAUAAUAAAAUGUUAGUUUCUCUUCUUCAUUUUUUUUCCCCUUUGAAGUCUUUCAACAAAAAUGGGUGGCAUCAUCUCAACCUUCUUCUCAGCGGACACAAUUCGUCCAAUUUUAUUUUACGUCGGUGGACAAGCAAAGAAUAUAUGGGGUCUUAAAGGUAAUCUCGAUGACUUGCAAACUGAAACGGAGAACUUGAUUGCGAAAAAACAAGAUCUGCUGAAUAAGGUUAGGCUUGCUGAACAAACACAGCCUCGUGGCCAACGGACGAGCACGGUGAAACUCUGGUUCGAAAGGGUGGAUCGAAGUGUAACUCUUGUUGAGGGGCUGCAACAAGAAAGAGAUCAAGAGAUUGACAGAUUGUGUCUUGGAGGCUUCUGUUCCAAGGACUUGAUUUCAAGCUACGACUUCGGCAAAAAGGUGGAGAAGUUGAAGGAAGAAGUAAUCAAAUUGAGAGAAAAAGGAGAAGCGAUGAAAGAAGUUUAUGAGGGGGUACCGGAAGGUGCAGCGGUUGCAAUAGCUGUUGACCGAACAAUUGUUGGUCAAGAAUCAAUACUUGACCAAGUUUGGAGAUGCAUCACUGAUCAAAAAAAGAAUAAUGGAAUUAUUGGCUUAUAUGGUAUGGGGGGCAUUGGCAAAACUACUCUGUUAAAACAAGUCAAUAACAAAUUCUGCAGUGAGGAGCAUGAUUUUGAUGUCGUUAUCUGGUCGGUUGUAUCUAGAGAGCCAAACUUGAAUCAGAUUCAAGAGGAUAUUGGCAAAAGGAUAGGCUUCUCAACAGAUUCAUGGGAGAGAAAAAGUUUUGAAGAAAGGGCUUCAGACAUCACCAAUACUUUAAAGCAUAAGAAGUUUCUAUUGUUAUUGGAUGAUAUAUGGGAGUCCGAAAUUGAUUUAACCAAAUUGGGCGUCCCUCUUCAGACACUAGAUUCUGGGUCCAGAAUAGUCUUCACAACUCGUUUUGAGGGUACUUGUGGUAAAAUGGGAGCCCAUAAGAAUCGGUACAAAGUGUUUUGUUUGGGAGAUGAGGAUGCCUGGAAAUUAUUUGAGGGGGUGGUCGGGAGAUACGUUCUUAACAAGCAUCCCGACAUUCCGAAGUUAGCUGAGGAUGUGGCACGUCAGUGUCAUGGUUUGCCGCUAGCACUCAAAACAGUAGGUAAUGCCAUGGCGAGCAAAGAGUACCCUGAAGAAUGGAAAGAAGCAAUUGAGAUCCUAAGCGAAUCAGCUUCUAAAUUCGAAGGUAUGGAGAAAAAGGUGCUUUCGAGCUUAAAGUUCAGCUAUGACAGUUUGCCGAAAGAUGAACUUCGAUCUUGUCUCCUGUACUAUUGUUUAUUUCCCGAAGACUCUGAAAUUGAAAAAACCGAGUUGAUAGAGUAUUGGAAAAGUGAAGGAUUUGUGGAUUCCAGCAGCGGGUGGGGGGUUCUUGGUGCUCUCGUUCGGGCAUGCUUAUUGGAGGAAGCAGGUGAUCGUGUAAAAAUGCACGAUAUGAUCCGUGACAUGGCAUUAUGGAUAGCAAAUGAAGUAGAGGAGGAGGAGGAGAACUUUUUGGUUCGUGCAGGAGUUGGAUUAACUGACGCCCCAAAGAUUGAAGAAUGGGAAGGGAUCAAAAGGAUAUCCUUGAUGAGGAACAAAAUUCGAAGUCUACCACAAAUUCCCACUUGUCCGCGUCUGCAAACAUUGCUUCUGGCGAGUAAUCGUAUUAAGGAGAUCACUGAGAGUUUCUUUCAAUCUUUGCCUUUGCUUAGAGUUUUGAAUCUAAGUGAAAAUCAUUACCUAACUGAACUACCUGUAGGGAUUUCAAGAUUGGUUUCAUUACACCAUCUUGAUCUGUCUUUUACUGAAGUGCGUGGGUUGCCGCAAGAGCUCAAGGCAUUGGUGAAUCUGAGAUAUUUGAACUUGGAGUAUACAAGUGAAAUGUCUAGAAUUCCAGAGCAAUUAAUAUCAAGCUUUUCGAAGUUACAGGUACUCAGGAUGCUGUAUUGCGGUCCACGUCUCCAGCCAAUAGUGGAAGAAGGCAACGUUCUAUCUGCUGAUGCUGAAUCAUUGAUGAAGGAAAUCCACUGUUUGGAACAAUUAAAUCUCAUCACCUUGUCCUUACAUGGUUCGCGUGGUGUUGAAAACUUUCUGAAAUUCCCAAAGCUGCAGAAUAUCACUCAAGCUCUGCACAUCGAAGACUGCAACAGUCUACCGCUCAAUUUGUUGCAUCUAGCAAACAUGGAGCAUCUUGAGAAGUUAUUUAUCGAGGAUAGUAAUUUGGAAGACUGGAAUGUCGACUGCGCGGGAGAGGUACAAAAAAUGCGUAAACUUCACUUUGUUUCAAUAUACGAAUGCUCAAAUGUGAAGGACUUAACGUGGCUUGUUUUUGUUCCAAAUCUCAAGUGGCUGCGAAUAUUUGAUUGUGAUGACAUGGAAGAAAUAAUCAGUGUUGAAAAUUUUGAAAAAUUGAGUGAAGUUUCAGAGAUGAUGGGAGAGCUUAACUUGUUCUCGGAACUCGAAUCUCUGAAUCUAGGAUAUGCAAGUAAUUUGAAGCGCAUCUACCGCGAUCCCUUGCCCUUUCCACAGCUGGAGCAAAUUUACAUAUCGAAAUGCCCAAAGUUGAAGAAGCUCCCGCUCAAUUCCAGCAGCGCAAAGGGACGUAAAAUUGUCAUUUACGGGGAGAAAGAAUGGUGGGAAGAGCUACAAUGGGAGGAUCAAGCCACUCAAAGUGCUUUCUCUCCCUGUUUGGCUGUUUCGUGCCUUCAUGAAUAAUAAAGUGCAAUAAGGCGCAAAAGUGUGAAUAAAGUUUCUGCGUGUGCUUAAUGAUUAUCUUGUCUAUCCAUUUCAUUUAAUUUAAAAGCUUUCUACGGUGUUGCGUGUGUGUCACUUGUCAUUCUUCUGCACUGCUGUUUCCUAUUUCCAGUUAAUAAAAUUUUUUUGUUCUUAGAAAUGCUUUGCUGGUAAUAUAUUCUAUUUACUUUCCUCCUAUUUUCAUUACAGCUAAUAAUUGCAUAGUUGUAUAAUUUUUUAAUAUUAUCUUUAUUUUUAAAUAUACUUUUAUUUAUAUUUAUUAUAAAUUAAAUAAAUGUAUGAAUAGAAAUUAAAAUGAAAACUAAGUAUUAAAACAAGAAAUAUAUAUUUUGAUUUGAAUAAAAAUAUAAAUAUUUGUUUGUACUUUUUUAUAUAUAUAUUCAAUAUAAGAAAAUAUUUAUAAAAUAAAAAGUGUAAGAAAAAUAUCUUAUUAUUAAUUCUUAUUCACAUCAAAACAUAUAUUUCUUACUUUAAAUACUUAAUUUUUUAUUCAAAUUAUCAUUCAUAUGAUUUAUUUAAUUUAUAAUACAUAUAAAUAAAAAUAAUAUUGUAAAUUAUGUUGUUAGAAAUUAUUAGUUAUUAUAAAAAUAAUAUGGGACAAAUGGUAAAUCGGAGAUAUUGUUUCCUAUUUUCAGCUAAAAAAUUUAUUUGUUCUAAUAAUUGCUUUGCUAGUAAUAAGGCCUGCAAGUUGCUUAACUGAAUAUGACUUCUUUUUUAAAAAUGUUACUAUCAAUUUCGAUGAUUGAUUAUCUCGAAGUAGUGAAAUUUAUGUAAUGUUGGUAUUAAAAAAAUUUGUGCUACUGAUAAAAAAAGUCCAUUGGAUUCGGCCUAAAUGACGGAUCGUGGCUUGAUUUUCUCAUCCCAAAGGCUCUGUAUCUCACUUUCGAAAGUAGUUUUAGCAUAAUGUAGGUGAAAAAUUAAAAUAUUCUGCGAUCUCUAUAUAGCUUUUCCAACAGAUUUCACCCAUUUGACUGUAGACCAAAGCAUCCAUUGGAUCGAUGCAUUUAUUAAGAAGAGGAUCAUUCGGAGCUACAAUUGGAGGAUCGAGUCACGCAAAGAGUUUUCUCUACUUGUUUCGAUCCUAUGGAGAUAGAGUUUUCAUAGAUUGAUGGUAGGAGCUUUUUUGUCAAUUUAUGUAUCUAAUUGUGUGUAACAUGCUUUCUUGUCUUUCAUAUCAGACAUUGUAAAUUUGUAAUGUUGCCAUUUUCUUUUUCCUAUCAAGAAAGAAAGAGCAUUGCGAGUAGUCUUUCCAAUUUUCACUCCUUUUUGGUAUGUGAAGAAAAAUAAUAAAGCAAAACAAACUAGUGUUGAAGAAAAAGAAAAUGACAAGUUCAAUAGGGCAAAAGUUCACCAUCCCUUUACCAUUUGCUCAAGCAAGUAAGCUUUACGUUUACUUCUUGAGAUUUGAACUAACCAGACAACUUGUAAUGUUACCAUAAAGUUCAAAGAUUAGAAGAGAAAAACUUAUGUCUGUUAGGCACUAUUAUUCAGGCUUAAAUAAUAACAAUAAAAUACUACACCAUGUCUGCUCUCUUUUACUUUUCUUGGUUCUGUUGUAAAAUUCAGUUCUAUUUGAAGGAAAUUAUUAACAUCAAAACUAAAUACUUCGUGAGCAUCUACUGACAACAUACUCCAGAUGACACCAUAACCAUAUCAUAUAAAGCAAGAAAUGUGAAAUAAAUACAAAAUGAAUCAUAGGAGGGAAUUACCACACUCUGCGGUCUCUCCUGCUAAACCCUGCAGUUAGAAUGCCAUUUGUCGUGAGCACCUGAAUCCCCAAAGGACUCCCAGCUUCAAGUGGCUUUGACUUAGCUUGCUUUAGCUCCAUUGCACAUACUCACUCACAUGAAGGAAAUGAACAGAACAAGAAACCUCAUCAUGCCGAAUAUGAUAGAUAUGACAAGGCAUUACACUGUAGGAAGCUCCCGAUUUCUCUACAAAACUCUGCAGGUUCUCCACAAUCAAGGCGUGCUCCAUCUUUAACAGAUCACUUCUACCAUUAAGAGAAGGAAGAGAGUUCCUCUCGUGUGGCAGUAAAUCCUUACUUAACACAGGAUUGAAGCCAACCAAGAACGGAAGGCAAUUUCGUUAGAUUAAGAACCGAAUCACCAUCCAAUAUAGUAGCAUUUGAACCAGAACUCUUGUUAAAUUCUUGAAAUCUCCUGCUUUCAUCAGUCUGUAAGAGAAAUGAAGAUGAGAAUAAUAGCCAGAACCGGAUUAAAUUCAAUCUGGUCUUUUGAAGACUUCUAUAACAACUAAGAGAACCCAGUGUACCGCCUACAGAUACUGUCAGGCUUCUAUCAAAUAUCCCAAACACCAAAAACCAACCCAAUUAAGCUAACAAACCUGCAUGAAUAUCUAAAUUUCAAUGCACGUGAAACAAACUCCGUGUUCAAUCCACCAAAACUAGCAAAUUUCAAACUUUAUCACUCAUCAUUCUCUCUCUGUCAGCUGUAUGAGGCUAUGAGAUCAUGUUAUAAUGUUCAUAUUGAUGCUGAAUGUUUUGCCAGCUUGUCUGAAUUCCAUAAGAGAAUGCAAUGUGCACAUUAUUGUGCCUUGCCCACCAUUAGAUUCUAAACCACAAAAUCAUUGUGUGAAGUAGCUGACGUUUCGCACAUUCUUAUCCCUUAUCAUCAAUAUUCUUCUCCUCAAGCUUAGAUCAUGGAAAUUUGAGUGACAAACAUGAUAACAUGGUAACACCAUCUAAACUUUAGGGGCAUAAAGUAACAUAGAAGCAACAUGGGAUGUUUUAAAAUCUAUUAUAAUUUGCUUAGGCCCCUGAAUAAAAUUAAAACUUGUAAUGAAAUAAAGUAGCAAAAUAAAGAUUGGAGGUCGCAUGCUUGAUAUUUGAUGCUGUCAAAAUUAAUUUGCAGUGCUGAAAUUGCUGCUCCAAUAAAUUUUUCAAUGGGAUUUCUAUAUUUACAACAAAUUUUCAGUAUUGAAACAGGAUUAAAAUCAUAAAGUAUCUUUUAAACAGCAGAGGCAACAAGAUCCUACAGAAAAAGAAGGCAAAAAGUAGUUACAAGCUACAGAAACGCAAAUAUUCUACUGGCCAACUCCCACUAAAUUCGAAGCAAUUCUAAAAUCUCAGCUUGUACUACGACAUCAUUCCUUCUAUGUGGCCCAACUGUACUUCACCCAGAAAUCACAUUUCUUCAUCAGAGAUAAUUUUACUUCUAAUAAGAGAGAAUUUUUUAUAUGCAUGGCUUUACAGUAAUGAAUAAUUUUCCUUAAAUCUUUUCUAACAGACAAGAAAGCACAAAGCACAAAAAUUGAUAUAAACAACUUUUCUCGAAGCUUUUUCAUAAGAAAACCUGAACAUGAUUGCUUCUCUUAGAAGGCCCCCUAGCUUCCUGCAAGAACCUUGUGCCCCCAAAAAAAACAAAGGAUUAUAAUUAGGCAUAAGGCUCCCAAUGUUCUUGCAGGAAUUAUGAUGAAUAUGAGAGUUUCAAAAAAGAAAAAAAAAUAUUACGACAACCUCUAGGCGGAGGAAAUCAGUUUUCUAGGAAUUCGUUAGAUUGGUGAAGUUAUAGAACCGCAGCAAUUUGCUGUAGUUUGGAAUGUUUUUGCCUUUCAUUAUAGCAUUUGAAAAGGCUCAAGGAUAUAGAAGAACCUUGGCUACAAAUUCAGGGAAGAUUUCACUUAUAAUGAGAAAUAAUCACCAUUAUUAUAUACAAUGAGAAAACAGUUAUGGAAGAAAUAGAAAGAAUUACCCGAAACGGAGGAUUUGGAAGACAAUGAGACAAAAGUAUAAAGAAGAAGAAAUUGGAGAUAUAAUGACUGCCUAUUUCUUUGAUGAACCCAUCAAAAACGGCUUGAAAAUUAAAGAAAUUGUAAAAUGCUGUAACGGAGGAAUUGAAACUGUAAAAGAUGCAAGUUAAUUCAUGGGGCUGGCCAUCUUGAUUGAUUGAACACCUAUUAGAUUUUUAAUAUUAAAGAACUCACUUUAAUGAUGUUUAAUUGGUAGUAGCCCUUUAUAGUCUUUAAACCUUUAGCAGUGCAAAGUCACAAGCUUUGUCCAGAAUCUAAGGGCGUAAGUUAUAGGCGAUGGGUGCCAUCACCUGGGCAACGACGUACAUCGCUUGGGCGACAAGCCAAUUUACUAGGCUCAUCGCAAACAGCCUUCGUCGCCUGGGCGAUGGCCAAAUCCAUCCAAUAAACUUUCAGCUCAUGUUUGAUAGUCUAAAAAAAGUAGUUAUGGUGGCCAUCACACAUCACAUUUUACUGACAAGCUGUCUUAAUUUUCAUAGAAAAUUGUUCCUACUGAUUUUCCAAUACUGGCCUAAUACUUGCAGAUUAUUAAACGAUUAUGGAAUGGCGGCGAUUUUAGACCAGUAAUUUUGUCAAUAAUUGCUAAUUCGCAAUCCCUUUACAAAUCUAAUAAUCUACUGCAUACACGCUCUUGAUGACUUGGAUUCUCAAAAAAUAACCAUUUUACGCCGCUGAAGCGCAGAAAAAUCAAUUGUUUUAUCCACUUCCAAAUAAAACUUAUUCUAGUAAAUGCGAUAAAGAAAUGUUUAUUUCAAUUUCCAACCCAGAUCUCAUAAAGAAUUUCUCACUCAAAUAAACAAAUAAAUAUCAUCUGGUAAUGGUAUGACAUUUAUUUUGAAGUAAACACUGGCCCACUAUUUUCUCAAUUUUCCAUUGUUUGAGGACACCAUUUUCUCAAUUGAAGAACAUGUUCUGGCCAAAAUUCACAAUUUUCUCCACGUGAUUUAAAGCACACAGGAUUCACACUUUUCUCCACGUGAUUUAAAAGCACACAGAAUUCUCCUGACCUUAAUUACGGAUCUUAUUAUGUUUAUUGAAAUCCAAUAUUGUAGACUCAUUGUUGUAGCUAGAAAAUCAUAUUAAUAGAGUAAAAUUUAUAAAUAAUCAAAGAAAAGAGUUCACGCUCUUACUUCAUUACUUUUAUAAUCUUAUUAGUAUAUCUACUUACAUGUCUUCAGAAAAUACAGUUUUAAGAGGAUAUUUUUAUUUUUCUUCGUAAUAAUAGAUUUAAUUUUCAUCUUUCUAAUGUUAAGUUGCAUAUUUGGAGUAAAUAAUAUUAAAUUUCAAAUUAGAUCACAGACCCCAUUUUAAUAGAUUCAAUUGGAUUUUGGACAUCUAAUUAAACAACUGGACUAAUAAAUUGCAAAUGAAUGAGAUUUAUAUGUGAUUUUAAAAUAAAAUUUGAACUCAAAUCUAUGUAUUUAAUUAAUCCAACAGGACAAAUUUAUAAUUUUCACCAACUAAAUAAAAUAUGUUAUCAGAAACUUUUGGACCAAGUCGCGCACUUCGUGGGUCUGCUACUACUUAUAGUCCAUUCUCAUUCAACUUUCACAUCUUUUAUAUUAUGUACAAAUUGGAUUAUAUUCUAAAACAGUGUUUCUAAUUGUUUAACGUUUUAUUUCUGGGUAUAUUUAGAGAUUAAAAAAUAUGGGAAACAUAAUUAAUUUUAUCAAAUAAAAAGGAGUAUUGUUCAUUUUUUCAUAAACAAUGUGUUAAAAUACUUUUGGUAUUUAAGAAGUAAAAAUUUUUAUUUUUGUUUCAUAAAAAAGCAUUCAAAAUUAUAUUAAAUAAAAUUAAAGAUUAACAAAACUGACAUCUGAAUUUCGUGCAAAUUAUAAUAAGUUUAUCUCCAGCGUGAGUAACAUUAAAGCUUGGCUAGCAUCAUCAUAUUUUAUCUCCAGCAUCAAAAUUCUGAUAACAUCAACAUCAUAAUUCCAAGGUUGUCAAAACUAAUUAUCAAAUUAAAAUCCUUUGUGAUUUAAGCUCUCUUGGACUUUUAAAAAUGUUAUGCCACCCCUUCUUUAAUAAUAGUAGUAUAUGAUUAUGAUUUAAUUAUUUUAUUUUUUUAAUUUAUCAAACACCAAUCACUUAAAUUAAACUCAAGAAAAAAAUUAGAACAUCAAAGAAUUUUAAUUGCUUCUUAUUAAGUACUAGAAUUAACUUCUCCCAAUGAUAAUUUAUUAAGCAAACCAUAAUGAUCAUCUUACACUAAAGAACCAACCCAUCUUCAAAACACAAGAAUUUAGUACAAAUAAUUAUCCCAAUAAAGUUUAACGAAAAAGAAAAGAGAUAUUUUUAUUAUUUCUUUUACUUUCUUAGUGGCUCUGCUACUACCUAUAGUCCAUUCUUAUUCAACAUACAGAUCUUUUAUAUUAUAUGCAAAUUAAAAUAUAUUCUAAAAAGUGUAUCCAACUGGUUAACAUAUUAUUUCUAUAUAAUAAUCAAUUUUAUCAAAUAAAAAGGAGUUUUGGUCAUUCAUUUGGCUCCGUUGCCACUGUUGUACGCUACAAAAGCUUUUGUCUUUGCUGACUCAGUUACUGUAAAAUGUCGUUCAGCCCCUUAUACUCUAUUUUAUUUAUAAGAAUUAUAAAAAUUUCUAAUUACCUACACUUUCAAAAUUCAAUUUAUCUCCUUACAAUCUUUUUCAUUUACUUUUUUUUGUAAGUAUUAAAAAGUUUCUAUUUACAACCACGACAUAGUAAUCAUCAUAACACACGAAUAUUUAUAAAAAUAUAAAAAUAUCACUAAAUUAAUACUAAAAAAUGUUUUCCUCUCUUGAGGAAUUAUGGUAUCUCAUUUUCGAUCACUCAUUAUCAACAAAAUUUUCAAAGAUAUGAUCAUUCAUCUUCUUUAUAAUAUCAUCUUAUAAUAAUUAAUACUUUCAUGAUUAAAAAAAUUAACAAAAUAAAGAUAAAUUCCCUUUGAAUCCAUCCCUCUCUACUAUCAUUUUCUCUUCAUUAGCAACAUUUAUCAAUAAUUGAAGCCACCAUCAGACUCAUCACACAGAGAGAGUGAGAGAGGGGAAGAAGAAACGGGAAAAAAAAAUAUAUGAGACAUUUACAAUUUUAUAGUGUGUUUAUUCAACGAGAUUCAUAUAUAGUUGCUAAGGGGUUUCAUUAGACACAGAGAGUUUAUUACACUGAAACUUUUAAUCCAGUAGUUAAGGCCUCAACAAUCAGAGUUAUUCUUAGCCUAGCAGUACUUAACAAGUGGAUAAUCAGACAAGUGGAUAUUAAUAAUGCCUUAAUGGCAUUUCAGUUGAAGAAGUUUACAUGGCACAACCUGAGGGAUUUGUGGAUCCUACUAAACCCCAACACAUCUGCAAAUUAAAAAGGACUAUAUAUGGCUUGAAGCAAGCUCUCAGGGCUUGGUUUGAUAGAUUCAAAGCUGCAAUGAUUACUCAAUGACAUUUUCAACACUCAAAAUCAGAUAAAAAAUAUCAAAAUAUUUAUAUCAUUAAACUUUUAGGCCUAAUUAACUAAUUAAAGUUCUAAAUUUUUAUUUAGGACAUUAAAAAGACCGGAUAGAUUCUAUUAGCCCAAAAAUUUUAUUUUAAUUUUAAUAUUCAUUAAAUAUUUUAAACUUAAAUCUAUUUUUUAUUUAUUUUUAGAUGUUAGAAUUGCCCACAGCGAAUCACAAUUUUAAUAUCUAAUCUAAUUUAAUCUAAUAUUUGCUCUUGAUUUGCUCUUACUUAACUAUUGUGUUGUAAAGGGAAUAGUCCACAUUUAUAAAGUGCCCACGCCACCCUUGAAAAAGUUAAUUUUGAAUCUAAAUUUGAUUUUAUUUGUAACAAUUUUGUAUUAGACUAUUAAUUUAUUUAUGAUAGUUUGUAAAAGAAGUUUGUAUCCCUUGCAUGCUGCGUUACUUACUAAUUUAAUGUAUGUGACUUUUGUAAUGGAUAUUAAUGCAAGAUAUUUUUCGAACUUUACUUUUAUUUAAAUUUUAUUUUAAUAUGAUUAACUCAAAUCGAAAAUAAAAAAAUGUAUUAAUUAUUCGGGGAUCGGGGACCCUCGGGGAUCCCCUAUUAUUAUUCGGGGAGGAGAUAGAGAUUCUCUUAAGUAAUUCUGACAGGGACGGGAAGGGGAUGAGGACAUACACAAAAUAUUGGGAAUGGUUACGGGGAGAUUGGUCCCCUCCCCUCCCCUCCCCAUUGCCAUCCCUAACUCCCUGACUAAAUAAUUUGGGAAUAUAAGGAUGCAAUAAGAGUUGAGUGGUCUUUAUUCCCAUAGCAUUAUUUUUUUCUCGCUUCAUCCGUGCUCUAUUCAAUCUUUAUGUGCCGCUUGUGUUAUGUUCCUGCAUAUCUAAUUACCUUUAGCUGCUUGUGUUAUGUUUACUUGUUUUGAUCUUAAUCUUUAAUCACUUAGCCUGAAUAAGAAAUAAUUUUUUAUAUUUGCUCUGCAAUGAUGUUAUUCGGUGUUAAUAGCUUCGUUUUGUUACUCUUUUCCGCACAGAUUCUUGAUCUCAACAGAACUUUUAUUUUGAAUAUUCUGCAUAAGGACAAUCUCAUUUAAUACCAUCAGUGAUUUUUCAUUUUUUUUCUCUUUAGUUUUAAUAUGUUUGAUAACUGUAUGGCUAAGCAAUCUAUGCAAUUUUAUCUUGUCGUAUGUUUGAGCUCAUUUUUUGUUGCAAUUCUGAAUAUUUGGUAUGAAUUAUGUGAUACCGGACAAUACUGUUAACUUGUUCAUUUCUUAAUUUUAAUAUCUUGUCAAAGUCACUAAUAGCAUUUCAUCAUGCUAUGAGUUAAACAUGGAACAAAUGACGACAUGCAGUUGUGGAAUGUGGUAGAUCUCUGGAAUUCUAUGUCCUUAUGCUUGUAGGGCAACACAAUACAUUAGUUAAAACAUUAAAGACUAUGAUGUCCGCAGAAAAUUAUAUGUCAACAUAUGCACCAGGCAUGAUGAAAUUAGCCAAAGACAGUGCUUGGAAACAAUUAACUAACUUUUGGCAUUAGGCGUAUCAAGUUCAAUUCGGUAUUUCACAAAACUUAAACUAACUUAUUCCUAAUUAUAGUGGACACAAUUAACUAACUUUGGCAACUGUUCUGAAGAGGAUGACUUCUUCAGGAUGACAUCAACUACCAGCGAUGAUACUAUCAGUAAGCUGCUUCUGCUAUCUAUUAAAUAUUACUGCUAAACGUAAUAUUGACAAUUUGUCUGUGUGCAGGCCUGUGAUAACCACUUGGAUCGGAUAAAGGACUGGGACAUCAACAAUUUGCCCAGAAACCAAUAAGAUAUCAUUGUAAUGUUUAAUUAUACAUGUAUUAGUUUCUCUUUGGAUGGUGCUCUUUGUUAUGCAAAAGUAUGGCGACUAUGUUUCAACCAGUGUAUCUAUUAUAUACACUAACUAUGAAUUACUAGAAAUUUUAUUACAUUAAUCAUUUUUAGAUAGCCACUCAUCUCAAACGAAACAAACUGGUCAGAGACACUUGACCCAACAUGCUUGUGAUCGACCUUAGAAUAAAUUUUUCUCACUCAAUAUAGACAACUUCUGUGAGGUUAAUAUUUCUUCAAAUGUCAAGAAAAGCAUUGGCCACAUAAAUGCAUACACAUGUUUUUGUUGGGAAGUUAAGCAGACGGGAACAACAUUGGACUAUAUACUCAUACACCAAACUUUAAUAAACUAAUAAAUAUAAUUUAAUAAUAAUUUAUUUCUCCUCGCUUAUGUGAGAAAAAGUCAAACCACAUAACGUAUUUAUAUUUUGUUAAGAAAUUUUACUGAUUGAACUAAUUAACACUAAUUUCUUAUCUCUCUUAACCAACGGAUAUUUUGAAGAUAGUUUUUUAUUUUCUAUAUUUUAUGUACUAAAUGAUUUUAAACCUCUAUCACGUCAUGAAUAAAUUGGAGUUUAGGUUGCUUAAAAUAAUAAUAAUAAUAAUAAUAAUAAUAAUAAUAAUAAUAAUUAAUAAAUGUAUUGAUGGAUUUCAUAAUCAUCCCACUUAGGGGUGGGCACGGUUCGGUUCGGUUCGAAAUUAAGUAGAACCGAUUUAAAUCGGUUAUUUUAUAAAAAGAACCGAAUAAGAACCAAACUCAAUAAGAACCAAACUCAAUAAGAACCGAACUCAAACGGUUCUUUUCGGAUCGGUUCGGUUCGGUUCGGUUUUUUCGGUUCUGGGUCUAUUGGGCCUAUUUUGAAUUUUUAAAUUUUUAGCCCAUUGGGCCUCAUAAAUGUAAUAAUUUUUUUCAACAAUUAAUUUAUCCUAAUUUUAUUACAAAUAUUAACAAUAAAUACAAAGUAUUCAAAACACAUUUUAUCACUAAUAUCUUACUAAUUAUUAAUAAGAUACUCCCAAAAUAUGAAAUAUUAAAAUUUCAAAAUACAUAACCAAACUCCAAUACUCCAUCUAUAUAAACAUAAUCAUAAUGUUAUAAAGAGAAAUAACACAUGUUUGAUUUGAAUAAAAUCAUGUUUGAUUUGAAUAAAAUUAUUAACACAUGUUUGAUUUGAAUAAAAUAAAAAAAUAAUUCGGUUCUUCGGUUCGGUUUUUUGGUUCAGCUAAGUGAACCGAAUACCGAACCGACAUUUCAGUUUUUUUUACAAACGGUAUAUUCGGUUUUUUUAAAAAAUAAAAACCGAACCGAAUUAAAAAAAACCGUCGGUUCGGUUUUUUUUAACAUUACGGUUUUUUUGCCCACCCCUAAUCUCACUCCUACGCCUCAAGACAAACAAGCUCACACUUCACGGAUCAGUCAAAGGAUCGGCUUUCAAGUCGUUGAAUUCACGGUGGUCAAACUAACGGAAAAACUAACGUGACGUCAAUCAGAUACGGUUUAUAAUAUAUGUAUCCUCAAUCAACGCAAAAAGUUUGAUCUGAAAAACCCUCUGCCUAAAACGCGUUUUCAGAAACGCGGUUUUGUUUUUCAAGUGGUUCCCAGAGCAUCCAUGCCAUGCUCUGUAUCAAUCAUUUCGUGCAUGUUUGGAGUUUGGCACGGCCAUUUUUACUGACUUUGUUAAGAAGUACUUAGAAGCUCAUUAGGAAAUGAUAACAAACGAAGCCUUGCGCUUUUACAUGUUACAUGCAUUAUUGGUAAGACGGUUGAUGAGUUACGUUAUAUGAACCCACAAUUAGUCGCCCAAUAGCCACCAUAUAUUAAAUAAUCAGUCAAAUUUUGAAUUGGGUAGUUAACUAAUUUCGAAUUACCGUAAGUCAUAAAUAAUGCAGGUUAGUAAGACCCGAGCCUAGGCAAAUUAAGGUCGUUAUCGCCUCUAAAUCAAGGCUGCAUAACCCAAAGUUAAGGGCACAUGUUCGAGUCCCAACUCCACAGUGUUGGAACUCUAUUAUAGUAUUAUUCCCUUUCACAUUAAAAGGAUAGGAUGGUUAUUUCUCUUACAUAUGUAGAUAGAUCAAAUAUAUCUUCUAAAUAAUAAUAGAUUUAUCAUUUUAAAGAGUUGUUUUAGAUAUGUGGAUAGAUCAAAUAAUAGACACCCUUUCCAUGAAAGGAGACUCAUUGAUUAUUGUUAAAAAAAAAAUUCGUUGAUGUUAUUAGAGAACUUGCAAUUUUUUUAUAACACUAAAUUUUUUAAUUUUUUAAGAUUUUUCUAUGAAUAGCAUGAAUUUUUUAUAGCAUUGGUAAUGAGGAUAUUAUGGACCUUUAGAUUUAAAUAUUUUAAUCUUCGCCAUUCAUUCAAUUUAGUGGAUAAAUAACUAAUUACUUAAUUUUUCAAGUUGCAUGUAGUAUAUAAGUUUAUGUAUGUAAUUCUAUUUUUAAUAAAUAAAUAAAUAAAUUUUAAAUCACUAACAAAAAAAAAUGCAAAUAUGUAUGUUAGUUUAGACGUGUACAUAAUAGAUAUGAAUUGAUAUUAUUUAAUUAUUGCACAAGACAUGCUAAUAAUGAUCUCUUUUGUCAAUAAUAAUCAGGAGAAUAAAAUGUUAAUUUCUUGAUUUUACUGGAUGGCUAAGAUCGAGUUAAGUCAAUUUUCGUUAUAUUUGUUAAUCUAAUAAUAUGUUGGCGAAAAAGAGGGAAUAUGAUUACAAACUAAGAUUGAGUUAAUUUUUUUAAUUCAGUCUUUAAAAAAUUGUACAACUGGUUUGAUAAUUGGUUAAUGAAAUUUUAAAUAACUAAAAUCAAGAUAUUAUUUUAACUAUAACUUCUAAUUUUGUACCAAACGUUGAUGAUCUUGAUGGGCGCAGAGGAUAGUUGGGUACGGUGCUGUAGUGGGCAACUAUGAGGAUAAAGUGAUGGUGACUGGAAUUGACAUAGGGGUAUACUUGGAUGAUGUUGAUUAUAGUGCGGCUGAGGCUUUAUGCUUUAGCUUAGAGUUGCUUAUCAAGAAUCUAUUAAUAACACAUUAUACUCAUACACCAAAGUUUAAUCUGAAUGAAUCAAGUAAUUCUAUGUUAAUAAAAGUUUUUAGACUUACGAUGAGGGUCUAGUUUAUAUAAAUGCAAAUAACACUGAAAUCUAAUAAUCCUUUACAAAUAAAUAUGAUUUAUUCAAUUAUCGCAAACAAUUGUUUUAUCAGAGUUAAUUACAUUAUUGCUAAACUUGUAUAAGCUUUCCUGUUUCAAGCAUAUCUACUUAAUUACAUUAUUCAUCGACAAUGUUACUUUGCUAGUAGAAGUUUUAUGUUUUCAUACCUUAAUCACUAUUUAACGCUUCGUUUUCCAAUAGUUCUAAUUCUUCAAAUUUUGGUUUUAUUCUUCCAUAAUUAUAAAUUGAUACUGAUUCGCACGACUCAAAUUAAAGUGGUUAAUUACUCUAAAAGUAUAAAUUUGGCAGUCAAUAAUUACUUAAAAAUAAUUGCAAAAAAAUUAAUAAGGAAUAGUAUAAAUUUAAAAACCGCUAAAGUUACGAGAUCCAUGCUUGAUAUUUAAAUCAUGGUCAUAAUACUCUUUCUCUCUCUCUCUCUCUCUCACACACACACACACAUAUAUAUAUAACCACUUUCAAUAUUAUGUUACUUAGUUCUUAAUUAACCGCUCUAUAAAUAAAUAUGAGAAUUAAGUACAUAUUAUGCUACAACCUUAUUGGAGUGUUCCCACUACCAUAUUAGUAGUCAACAUUAGGUCUAAACACCCACAUAAUAUUUUUGGUGAACUUGCAACCACAACCUUUAAAUUAGGGGUGGGCACGGUUCGGUUCGGUUCGAAAUUAAGUAGAACCGAUUUAAAUCGGUUAUUUUAUAAAAAGAACCGAAUAAGAACCAAACUCAAUAAGAACCGAACUCAAACGGUUCUUUUCGGAUCGGUUCGGUUCGGUUCGGUUUUUUCGGUUCUGGGUCUAUUGGGCCUAUUUUGAAUUUUUAAAUUUUUAGCCCAUUGGGCCUCAUAAAUGUAAUAAUUUUUUUCAACAAUUAAUUUAUCCUAAUUUUAUUACAAAUAUUAACAAUAAAUACAAAGUAUUCAAAACACAUUUUAUCACUAAUAUCUUACUAAUUAUUAAUAAGAUACUCCCAAAAUAUGAAAUAUUAAAAUUUCAAAAUACAUAACCAAACUCCAAUACUCCAUCUAUAUAAACAUAAUCAUAAUGUUAUAAAGAGAAAUAACACAUGUUUGAUUUGAAUAAAAUCAUGUUUGAUUUGAAUAAAAUUAUUAACACAUGUUUGAUUUGAAUAAAAUAAAAAAAUAAUUCGGUUCUUCGGUUCGGUUUUUUGGUUCAGCUAAGUGAACCGAAUACCGAACCGACAUUUCAGUUUUUUUUACAAACGGUAUAUUCGGUUUUUUUAAAAAAUAAAAACCGAACCGAAUUAAAAAAAACCGUCGGUUCGGUUUUUUUAACAUUACGGUUUUUUUGCCCACCCCUAAUCUCACUCCUACGCCUCAAGACAAACAAGCUCACACUUCACGGAUCAGUCAAAGGAUCGGCUUUCAAGUCGUUGAAUUCACGGUGGUCAAACUAACGGAAAAACUAACGUGACGUCAAUCAGAUACGGUUUAUAAUAUAUGUAUCCUCAAUCAACGCAAAAAGUUUGAUCUGAAAAACCCUCUGCCUAAAACGCGUUUUCAGAAACGCGGUUUUGUUUUUCAAGUGGUUCCCAGAGCAUCCAUGCCAUGCUCUGUAUCAAUCAUUUCGUGCAUGUUUGGAGUUUGGCACGGCCAUUUUUACUGACUUUGUUAAGAAGUACUUAGAAGCUCAUUAGGAAAUGAUAACAAACGAAGCCUUGCGCUUUUACAUGUUACAUGCAUUAUUGGUAAGACGGUUGAUGAGUUACGUUAUAUGAACCCACAAUUAGUCGCCCAAUAGCCACCAUAUAUUAAAUAAUCAGUCAAAUUUUGAAUUGGGUAGUUAACUAAUUUCGAAUUACCGUAAGUCAUAAAUAAUGCAGGUUAGUAAGACCCGAGCCUAGGCAAAUUAAGGUCGUUAUCGCCUCUAAAUCAAGGCUGCAUAACCCAAAGUUAAGGGCACAUGUUCGAGUCCCAACUCCACAGUGUUGGAACUCUAUUAUAGUAUUAUUCCCUUUCACAUUAAAAGGAUAGGAUGGUUAUUUCUCUUACAUAUGUAGAUAGAUCAAAUAUAUCUUCUAAAUAAUAAUAGAUUUAUCAUUUUAAAGAGUUGUUUUAGAUAUGUGGAUAGAUCAAAUAAUAGACACCCUUUCCAUGAAAGGAGACUCAUUGAUUAUUGUUAAAAAAAAAAUUCGUUGAUGUUAUUAGAGAACUUGCAAUUUUUUUAUAACACUAAAUUUUUUAAUUUUUUAAGAUUUUUCUAUGAAUAGCAUGAAUUUUUUAUAGCAUUGGUAAUGAGGAUAUUAUGGACCUUUAGAUUUAAAUAUUUUAAUCUUCGCCAUUCAUUCAAUUUAGUGGAUAAAUAACUAAUUACUUAAUUUUUCAAGUUGCAUGUAGUAUAUAAGUUUAUGUAUGUAAUUCUAUUUUUAAUAAUGACAAUUGAUUGUGUUAGCAUUUUGGUCAAAAAGGUGGACCCCCCCAAAAACAAACAAAAAAAAUUUAUGAUAAUAAUUAACAUUGAUAAAUAAAAAUAUUAAUAAUGGGUGUGUUAGCAUUUUGGUCCAAAGCCGAUUUGGCCUUGACAUUAAUUGGAAUUUUGGAUCUAUAAUAUGAUUUUCACCGAAAAGAUAAUUUUGCCGCUAAUUAUUUGGGUAGUCAGAUAAUAAUAACAAAAAAAUGUUAUCUCGAUCUCACCUAUAACUUGAGGAGAUAAUAAUGAUAGUCUUUCAUAAUACUCUACUGUUUAGUUUCUCUUCUUCAUUUUUUUCCCCUUUGAAGUCUUUCAACAAAAAUGGGUGGCAUCAUCUCAACCUUCUUCUCAGCGGACACAAUUCGUCCAAUUUUAUUUUACGUCGGUGGACGAGCAAAGUAUAUAUGGGGUCUUAAAGGUAAUCUCGAUGACUUGCAAACUGAAACGGAGAACUUGAUUGCGAAAAAACUAGAUCUACUGAAUAAGGUUAGGCUUGCCGAACAACAACAGCCUCGUGCCCAACGGACGAGCACGGUGAAACUCUGGUUCGAAAGGGUGGAUCGAAGUGUAACUCUUGUUGAGGGGCUGCAACAAGAAAGAGAUCAAGAGAUUGACAGAUUGUGUCUUGGAGGCUUCUGUUCCAAGGACUUGAUUUCAAGCUACGACUUCGGCAAAAAGGUGGAGAAGUUGAAGGAAGAAGUAAUCAAAUUGAGGGAAAAAGGAGAAGCAAUGAAAGAAGUUUAUGAGGGGUUACCAGAAGGUGCAGCGGUUGCAAUAGCUGUUGACCGAACAAUUGUUGGUCAAGAAUCAAUACUUGACCAAGUUUGGAGAUGCAUCACUGAUCAAAAAAAGAAUAAUGGAAUUAUUGGCUUAUAUGGUAUGGGGGGCAUCGGCAAAACUACUCUGUUAAAACAAGUCAAUAACAAAUUCUGCAGUGAGGAGCAUGAUUUUGAUGUCGUUAUCUGGUCGGUUGUAUCUAGAGAGCCAAACUUGAAGCAGAUUCAAGAGGAUAUUGGGAAAAGGAUAGGCUUCUCAACAGAUUCAUGGCAGAGAAAAAGGUUUGAAGAAAGGGCUUCAGACAUCACCAACACUUUAAAGCAUAAGAAGUUUGUAUUGUUAUUGGAUGAUAUAUGGGAGUCCGAAAUUGAUUUAACCAAAUUGGGCGUCCCUCUUCAGACACUAGAUUCUGGGUCCAGAAUAGUCUUCACAACUCGUUUUGAGGGUACUUGUGGUAAAAUGGGAGCCCAUAAGAAUCGGUACAAAGUGUUUUGUUUGGGAGAUGACGAUGCCUGGAAAUUAUUUGAGGGGGUGGUCGGGAGAUACGUUCUUAACAAGCAUCCCGACAUUCCGAAGUUAGCCGAGGAUGUGGCACGUCAGUGUCAUGGUUUGCCGCUAGCACUCAAAACAGUAGGUAAUGCCAUGGCGAGCAAAGUGUACCCUGAAGAAUGGAAAGAAGCAAUUGAGAUCCUAAGCGCAUCAGCUUCUAAAUUCGAAGAUAUGGAGAAAAAGGUGCUUUCGAGCUUAAAGUUCAGCUAUGAUAGUUUGCCGAAAGAUGAACUUCGAUCUUGUCUCCUGUACUGUUGCUUAUUUCCCGAAGACUCUGAAAUUCUAAAAACCGAGUUGAUAGAGUAUUGGAAAAGUGAAGGAUUUGUGCAUUCUAGCAGCGGGUGGGGGGUUCUUGGUGCUCUCGUUCGUGCAUGCUUAUUGGAGGAAGCAGGUGAUCGUGUAAAAAUGCACGAUAUGAUCCGUGACAUGGCAUUAUGGAUAGCAAAUGAAGUAGAGGAGGAGGAGGAGAACUUUUUGGUUCGUGCAGGAGUUGGAUUAACUGACGCCCCAAAGAUUGAAGAAUGGGAAGGGGUCAAAAGGAUAUCCUUGAUGCAGAACAAAAUUCAAAGUCUACCACAAAUUCCCUCUUGUCCGCGUCUGCAAACAUUGCUUCUGGCGAGUAAUCGUAUUAAGGAGAUCACUGAGAGUUUCUUUCAAUCUUUGCCUUCACUUAGAGUUUUGAGUCUAAGAAGAAAUCGUUCCCUGACUGAACUUCCUGUGGGGAUUUCAAGUCUGGUUUCAUUACACCAUCUUGAUAUGUCUUCUACUAAAGUACGUGGAUUGCCGCAAGAGCUCAAGGCAUUGGUGAAUCUGAGAUAUUUGAACUUGGAGUAUACACGUGGAAUGUCUAGAAUUCCACAGCAAUUAAUAUCAAGCUUUUCAAAGUUACAGGUACUCAGGAUGCUGCGUUGCGGUCGACGUUACCAGCCAAUAGUGGAAGAAGGCAACGUUCUAUCUGCUGAUGCUGAAUCAUUGAUGAAGGAAAUCCACUGUUUGGAACAAUUAAAUCUCAUCACCUUGUCCUUACAUGGUUCGCGUGGUGUUGAAAACUUUCUGAAAUUCCCAAAGCUGCAGAAUAUCACUCAAGCUCUGUCCAUCGAAGACUGCAACAGUCUACCGCUCAAUUUGUUACAUCUAGCAAACAUGGAGCAUCUUGAGGAGUUAUAUAUCGAGGAUAGUAAUUUGGAAGACUGGAAUGUCGACUGCGCGGGAGAGGUACAAAAAAUGCGUAAACUUCACUCGGUUCUCAUACGGAAUUGCUCAAAUGUGAAGGACUUGACGUGGCUUGUUUUUGUUCCAAAUCUCAAGUGGCUGCGAAUAGUUGGUUGUGAUGACAUGGAAGAAAUAAUCAGUGUUGAAAAAUUUGAAAAAUUGAGUGAAGUUUCAGAGAUGAUGGGAGAGCUUAACUUGUUCUCAGAACUCGAACUUCUGGUAAUAAGAAAUGCAAGUAAUUUGGAGCGCAUCUACCGCGAUCCCUUGCCCUUUCCACAGCUGAACCGAAUUAGCAUAUUGAAAUGCCCAAAGUUGAAGAAGCUCCCACUCAAUUCCAGCAGCGCAAAGGGACGUAAAAUUGCCCUUGCGGGACAGAAAGAAUGGUGGGAAGAGCUACAAUGGGAGGAUCAAGCCACUCAAAAUGCUUUCUCUCCCUGUUUCCGACCUAUUGAAGAAUAAAGUGCGAUAAGGCACAAAAGUGUGAAUAAAAUUUCUGCGCGUGCUUAAUGAUUAUCUUGUCUAUCUAUUUCAUUUAAUUUAAAAGUUUUCUACGGAGUUGCAUGUGUGUCACUUGUCAUUCUUCUGUACUGCUGUUUCCUAUUUCCAGUUAAUAAAAUUUUUUUGUUCUUAGAGUUAGAAAUGCUUUACUUGUAAGGGAGAUUCACAAUUUUCCCAUAUUAUGAUUAAUAUAUUCUUUUUACUUUCCUACUAUUUUGCAUAAUUUUUUAAUAUUAUUUUUAUUUCUAAAUAUAUUUUUAUUCAUAUUUAUUAUAAAUUAAAUAAAUGUAUGAAUAGAAAUAAAAAUAAAAAUAAAAAUUAAGUAUUAAAACAAGAAAUAUAUAUUAUGAUUUGAAUAAAAAAUAAAUAUUUUUUUGUACUUAGAAUGCCAUUUGUCGUGAGCACCUGAAUCCCCAAAGGACUCCCAGCUUCAAGUGGCUUUGACUUAGCUUGCUUUAGCUCCAUUGCACAUACUCACUCACAUGGAGGAAAUGAACAGAACAAGAAACCUCAUCAUGCCGAAUAUGAUAGAUAUGACAAGGCAUUACAUUGUAGGAAGCUCCCGAUUUCUCUAAAAAACUCUGCAGGUUCUCCGCAAUCAAGGCGUGCUCCAUCUUUAACAGAUCACUUCUACCAUUAAGAGAAGGAAGAGAGUUCCUCUCGUGUGACAGUAAAUCCUUACUUAACACAGGAUUGGAGCCAACCAAGAAGGGAAGGCAAUUUCGUUAGAUUAAGAAUCGAAUCACCAUCCAAUAUAGUAGCAUUUGAACCAGAACUCUUGUUAAAUUCUUGAAAUCUCCUGCUUUCAUCAGUCUGUAAGAGAAAUGAAGAUGAGAAUAAUAGCCAGAACCGGAUUAAAUUCAAUCUGGUCUUUUGAAGACUUCUAUAACAACUAAGAGAACCCAGUGUACCGCCUACAGAUACUGUCAGGCUUCUAUCAAAUAUCCCAAACACCAAAAACCAACCAAAUUAAGCUAACAAACCUGCAUGAAUAUCUAAAUUUCAAUGCAUAUGAAACAAACUCCAUGUUCAAUCCACCAAAACUAGCAAAUUUCAAACUUUAUCACUCAUCAUUCUCUCUCUGUCAGCUGUACGAGGCUAUGAGAUCAUGUUAUAAUGUUCAUAUUGAUGCUGAAUGUUUUGCCAGCUUGUCUGAAUUCCAUAAGAGAAUGCAAUGUGCACAUUAUUGUGCCUUGCCCACCAGUAGAUUCUAAACCACAAAAUCAUUCUGUGAAGUAGCUGACGUUUCGCACAUUCUUAUCCCUUACCAUCAAUAUUCUUCUCCUCAAGCUUAGAUCAUGGAAAUUUGAGUGAUAACACGAUCUAAACUUUAGGGGCAUAAAGUAACAUAGAAGCAACAUGGGAUGUUUUAAAAUCUAUUAUAAUUUGCUUAGGCCCCUGAAUAAAAUUAAAACUUGAAAUGAAAUAAAGUAGCAAAAUAAAGAUUGGAGGUCGCAUGCUUGAUAUUUGAUGCUGUCAAAAUUAAUUUGCAGUGCUGAAAUUGCUGCUCCAAUAAAUUUUUCAAUGGGAUUUCCAUAUUUACAACAAAUUUUCAGUAUUGAAACAGGAUUAAAAUCAUAAAGUGUCUUUUAAACAGCAGAGGCAACAAGAUCCUACAGAAAAAGAAGGCAAAAAGUAGUUACAAGCUACAGAAACGCAAAUAUUCUACUGGCCAACUCCCACUAAAUUCGAAGCGAUUCUAAAAUCUCAGCUUGUACUACUACAUCAUUCCUUCUAUGUAGCCCAACUGUACUUCACCCAGAAAUCACAUUUCUUCAUCAGAGAUAAUUUUACAUCAUUCCUUAUCAUUAGGCAUAAGGCUCCCAAUGUUCUUGGAGGAAUUAUGAUGAAUAUGAGGGUUUCAAAAAAGAAAAAAAAAUAUUAUGACAACCUCUAGGCGGAGGAAAUCAGUUUUCUAGGAAUUCGUUAGAUUGGUGAAGUUAUAGAACCUUAGCAAUUUGCUGUAGUUUGGAAUGUUUUUGCCUUUCAUUAUAGCAUUUGCAAAGGCUCAAGGAUAUAGAAGAACCUUGGCUACAAAUUCAGGGAAGAUUUCACUUAUAAUGAGAAAUAAUCACCAUUAUUCUAUACAAUGAGAAAACAGUUAUGGAAGAAAUAGAAAGAAUUACCCGAAACGAAGGAUUUGGAAGACAAUGAGACAAAAGUAUAAAGAAGAAGAAAUUGGAGAUAUAAUGGCUGCCAAUUUCUUUGAUGAACCCAUCAAAAACGGCUUGAAAAUUAAAGAAAUUGUCAAAUGCUGUAACGGAGGAAUUGAAACUGUAAAAGAUGCAAGUUAAUUCAUGGGGCUGGCCAUCUUGAUUGAUUGAACACCUACACGUGACAAGUGUGCGAUAAUCGUUAUAUCUUCAAUUUUAGGCAGUUUUUCAUUUCUUUUAUUUUAAUAGUAAAAAAAUACGCCAUUUUAGAUACAAAUGCCCCUGACUAGCCCUUUUGUAAGUUACAUUGUUUGGUGCGAUAGUCCCGCACGUGCUUGACAUUUGCCGAAUAUCUUAUGCGCAUUUUUUUUCCCCUCUAACUCAUUGUGUAUGCUCAUCUUUAUGUGCGUUAUUACCUAAACUUAUAUACCAAUCAAAAUAAAUCAUAAAGUAUCAAACGCUUUUAAAUGAUUUUUAAUAUUAAAGAACUCACUUUAAUGAUGUUUAAUUGGUAGUAGCCCUUUAUAGUCUUUAAACCUUUAGCAGUGCAAAGUCACAAGCUUUGUCCAGAAUCUAAUGGCGUAGAUUAUAGGCGAUGGGUGCCAUCACCUGGGCAACGACGUACAUCGCUUGGGCGACAAGCCAAUUUACUAGGCUCAUCGCAAACAGCCUUCGUCGCCUGGGCGAUGGCCAAAUCCAUCCAAUAAACUUUCAGCUCAUGUUUGAUAGCCUAAAAAAAGUAGUUAUGGUGACCAUCACACAUCACAUUUUACUGACAAGGUGUCUUAAUUUUCAUAGAAAAUUGUUCCUACUGAUUUUCCAAUCCUGGCCUAAUACUUGCAGAUUAUUAAACGAUUAUGGAAUGGCAGCAAACCGGCGCCGCGGAGGGGGGCCGGCCCGGGGUUGUUGUGCUGAUUUGGGAGGGGUAAUAAACCCUCUGAGGCAAUUUAGCAAACAUAUUAUGUGCCAUGAUUUUAGACCAGUAAUUUUGUCAAUAAUAGCUAAUUCGCAAUCCCAUUACAAAUCUAAUAAUCUAUUGCAUACACGCUCUUGAUGACUUGGAUUCUCAAAAAAUAAUCAUUUUACGCCGCUGAGGCGCAGAAAAAUCAAUUGUGUUGUCCCUUUAUACUUUUUCAUUUGUUUUGCCCACGUCCAAAUAAAACAGAUUCUGGUAAAUGUGAUAAGGAAAUGUUUGUUUCAAUUUCCAACCCAUAUCUCAUAAAGAAUUUCUCACUCAAAUAAAUAAAUAUUAUCCGGUAAUGGUAUGACAUUUAUUUUGAAGUAAACACCGGCACGCCAUUUUCUCAUUUUUUUCAUUUUUUGAGGACACCAUUUUCUCAAUUGAAGAAUAUAUUUUGGCCAAAAUUCACAAUGUUCUCCACAUGAUUUAAAGCACACAGAAUUCACACUUGUCUCCACAUGAUUUAAAAGCACAAGGAAUUCUCUUGACCUUAAUUACGAAUCUUUUUAUGUUUAUUGAAAUCCAAUAUUGUUGACUCAUUGGUGUAGCCAGAAAAUCAUAUUAAUAUAGUAGAAUUUAUAAAUAACCAAAGAAAAAAGUUCACGCUCUUACUUUAUUACUUUUAUAAUUUUAUUAGUACAUCUACUAACAUGUCUUCAUAAAAUAUAGUUUUAAGAGGAUAUUUUUAUGGUUGUAGAUAUUUUUAUUUUUCUUCUUAAUAAUAGAUUUAAUUUUCAUCUUUCUAAUGUUAAGUUGCACAUUUGGACUAAAUCAGAUUAAAUUUCAAAUUAGAUGACAGGCCUUAUUUUAAUAGAUUCAAUUGGAUUUUGGACAUCUAAUUAAACAACUGGAUUAAUAAAUUGCAAAUGAAUGAGAUUUAUAUGUGAUUUUAAAAUAAAAUUUGAACUUAAAUCUAUGUAUUCAAUUAAUCCAACAAGACAAAUUUAUAAUUUCUACCACCUAAAUAAAAUAUGUUAUCAGAAACUUUUGGACCAAGUAGGGGCAGUUCAUCACUUCGUCGGCCUGCUACUACUUAUACUCCUUUCUCAUUCAACUUUCACAUCUUUUAUAUUAUAUACAAACUAGAUUUGUCAUGCAAGUAUUUGACAGAAGAAAUCUCAUUGGAAAUCGGACAACUUCAAGAAAUUCAUUUAUUGAAUUUGUCACAUAAUUGCUUGUCGGUUUAUAAACCAAAAAGGUAUUCCAAAUUAAAAGUGGUAGAGAGCCUAGACUUUUCUUACAACAGAUUAAGUGGUAGAAUUCCUCCUUAAUAGACUGAGCUCAAUUUUUUGAUCUGUCUUCAAGACGUCAUACAACAACUUGUCCAACCUGAUACCAAACAAAGAGCAGUUUGCCACAUUCAAUGAAGGCAGUUAUGGAGGAAAUCUGCAUCUUUGUGGUCCAACAGUUAAUAAGAGUUGCAACAAUGCGGAGGAAAUACCAGCAAUAGAAUCCAAUCGAGGAGAAGAUGAAGAUGAAUGUGCAAUUGAUAUGGUGUCAUUCAGUUGGAGUUUCGGUUCAUCAUAUGUCACAUUCAUCAUGGGGUUUUUCGCGAUACUUUGGAUAAACUCAUACUGGCGCAGAAUGUGGAUCUAUUACAAUCAUGUAUUCACUAGGCCAUACGCGUGAUGUGCUUUUCUGCUAAAACUAGUUCACAAAUGUGAUUUCAUUAAAAUUAGUCUAUACACAUCUUUCCCUUGGCUUUUGUUGGCUCCAACUCCGGACUUUUAUUCAUAUCAUUACUUUAUGUAGUUUCCCCAAAAGGCUUGUGAUGAUUAAUGCAGUUUAUAAAUUAUUACUACUACAAUAAUGAUAUAAUAAAUAAUUUUUUUUAAGUUGUAAAAGUGAGAAAUACUAAAGAGAUCUUUAUUACAUCAUUAAUGUUCGAUCAAGAAUUUCCUCAUCCGAGCUUGCAGUCUGUGGAGGAGACUGUAUCAAUGUCGAAAUUCUCCGGACCGGCACUAUUUGCUGUUUCUCCAUUGAAUAGUGCGUCUUACUACAACAAGGUGAAACACAGCCCAGUGUUCUGAUUGGGCCCAAUGCGAAAAACAUAAAACCCAAAUUUUUGUUGACUUUGGGCCUGCUCAAAUACCAUGCCCAAUUGUGUCUAGUUGUAACAAAAGCGGCGAGAUGUUCAUGCCCAAACCCGCAAGAUUGUUUUAAUAUUUAAAAUUUAACAUGAUUCUAGAAUUUUUGUUAAUAAAAAAUAAACCACCAAGAUUCUAGUGAAUAACAAAUGUAUACAUAUACACGUGCUGUGUAGACCGGGCCAAUUCUUGUGGAAUUCUCCAACAACCAUCCUGAUUCUUGAAUUGCCGCGAAAAUUCCGCAAGCGAUGAACCCUCUCUUACGCACCACUCAUUCUCUAUCACAAUGAUCAAAAUAAAGACGAGGACGGAGACUAUUAAUCACUGAGAGUGAUUUUCUCAAUAUUUGUCAAUCACUACUAAGAUUCAUUGUCAAUCAAUAAUAUCAAUUGACACAAAGAUUGAUUGUCUUUUUUUUUUUUUCGAGAAUAUCAGUGCUUGAAUACAUUAUUUGAUAUAUAUAAUUCAAUGUAAACUCAAUCAUACUCUUAAAUUAUUUUUAUAAAUUCUCAAUAUCAGUCUUUGAUUUUAAUUCGAGUUUUGAUUCAAAUUAAUGCAAGGAUACAAAAGGACUCAAGAGCUUCAUAUAUCAAUUCUAUGUUAUUAACUUAUUAUUUCGGUGUACACCACAAAUUUAUGAGUAAUUUAUUAAAAUGUCUAAACAUAUAUGAAAAAUAGUUGAUUAUUGAUUUUCACAAAUUUCAAUAUAUCAAACAUCCUAUCGAGUUAUUAAUUCCAAAGCACAUUAUUUAAGAAUCAAUGCUAGAAUAAAUUAUUUGAUAAUUUCAAACCCAAAUUUACGCUUAAAUUCUUUAAAUUAUCUCAAUCAACUUUUUUUUUUCUUAGCUGACCAUCUAUAUCAGCUAUUGGAAAAAAAAAUAGAAUUGACGACUACUUGUAUGUUGGCCUAAUUUGAAAGUCAAUCAACAUUUAUUUUCCAUGUAAUGUUAAUGAAGCAUUUCCCUCAUUGGUCCAACAUUGCAACAUGUGGAAUUUCAGGCUUACAAUUCCUCAUUAGUCAUUACAGAUACCGAAAUUGAUUGUCAGACAAUAUUGUCAUUUCAAUAUAUGCCACAAUUUUAUGAGUAAUUUACUAAAAUCUUUAAAUAUAUAAAAUUUGCAUGUGUGUAAUAAACCUGUAUUUAUAUAUAAAAUUUGCAUAUUUAAAUUGCACCUCUCCAUGCAUCAUAUAAAAUGUCAUUUCAAUGUGAUCCACACUUUUAUGAGUUAAUAACUAAAUAUUGUCACUAAAUUUUUCCUAAUUGUUGCAUGCAUUAGAUUUUUUUACGAAAAAAAAAACAUGCUACAUUAAGUGUAAAACAAUUGAGGAAAAGAUUAGAGAACACAAUGAGAAAAGAAAUUUUUUAUACAACCUUUUCAUCAAUAAAAAUCAUAUUCAUACUAAUCAAUUCUUCAUUCCUCUUGGUAUUAACAGACUCUCACAUCCUACAAAAUCUAACCCUUAUCAUCCAACUAUCUUUAUCAUUAUUUAACUCAUGAAGAAAAGAGUACUCCAUGAAGCACACAAUACUAAAAAUUCAAAUAAGUCAAAAAUAAAAAUGCAAGAAUAUUUCUAAGGAGGAUGUUGGUUAAAUAAUAAAAAACCCAAACAUAACAAAUCUUAAAUACUUAAUGUUUAUAGACUUUGAAGAAGUCAAAAGACAUUAAACAAAAUGUUGCAUAAUUAAAUAUGGAAUUAUGACAUUAAAAUUAGGCCCUAAUGGCAUUGGUGAGUGAAGAUGAAGGAACCUUCCUUCCUAUAUUAAUUAGUUGAUGUAUUUUAAGUCACUAAAGUUUAGUUGUUGGCUUAAUAAAAUAAAUGAAUGUUUCAAGACUUAUAAUUAAUUAUUAUUAAUGGUUGCAUAUUAUUGAAUUUAAAUAGAAAGAGGAAGAGACAUGUAAUUUUUUGUAAUCUAAUAAUUAUUUUCUAUUUUGUAAUGUAAUUAUUUUUUAAUCUCAACCAAUAUAUUAGAUAAUAGAGAAUAUAAAAAGAUAAGAAAUAAUGAUGUCACAAAUCUUAAAUACUUAAUGUUUACAGAGUUUGAAGAAGCGAAAAUGCACUAAACAUAAGGUUGCAUAAUUAAAUAUAGGAUUAUGGUAUUAAAAUUAGGCUCUAAUGGCAUUGUUGAGGGAAGAUGAAAGAAACUUUCUUCCUAUAUUAAUUAAUUGAUGUAUUUUAAGCCACUAAAGUUUAAUUGUUGGCAUAAUAAAAUAAAUGAAUGUUUUAAGACUUAUAAUUAAUUAUUAUUAAUGGUUACAUAUUAUUGAAUUUAAAUAGAAAGAGGAAGAGACAUGUAAUCUUUUGUAAUCUAAUAUUUAUUUUCUAUUUUUAAUAUUUUGUAAUGUAAUUAUUUUUUAAUCUCAACCAAUAUAUUAGAUAAUAGAGAAUAUAAGAAUAUGAGAAAUAAUGAUGUCACAUCACCUCUUGUAGUCCCAACUCUCUCUCUCUCUCUCUCUCUCUCUCUCUCUCUCUCUCUCUAUAUAUAUAUAUAUAUAUAUAUAUAUAUAUAUAUACAUACAUAUUAUUUUCUAAAAAGUAUUUCUAAUUGUUUAACGUUUUAUUUAUGAGUAUUUUUAAGAGUUUAAAAAAUAUGGGAAACAGAAUCAAUUUUAUCAAAUAAAAAGAAUAUUGGUCAUUUUCUUCAUAAAGAAAGUGUUAAAAUACUUUUGGUAUUUAAGAAGUAACAAUUUUUUUUUUUGUUUCAUAAAAAAAGCAUUCAAAAUUAUAUUAAAUAAAAUUAAAGAUUAACAAAACUGACGUCUGAAUUUCGUGUAAAUUAUAAUAAGUUUAUCUCCAGCAUGAAUGACAUUAUAGCGUGGCUAGCAUCAUCAAAAUUCUGGUAACAUUCCAAGGUUGUCAAACUAAUCAUCUCAAAAUGUCAUUAUACUUGUAGCGUGCGGGCAUCAUCUUUACUUUCAGCAUCAAAAUUCUUUUAUUUAAUACACUUUUAUUUUAUACAAUUUUUAUCAUAUUAAAAUCCUUUGUAAUUUAAGCUCUCUCGGACUUUUAAAAAUGUUAUGCCACCCCUUCUUUAGCAGUAAUAGUAUAUGAUUAUGAUUUAAUUAUUUUAUUUUUUAAUUUAUCAAACACCAAUCACUUAAAUUUAACCUAAGAAAAAAUUAGAACAUCAGAUAAUUUUAAUUGAUUCUUAUUAAGUACUAGAAUUAACUGCUCCCAAUGAUAAUUUAUUAAGCAAACCAUAGUGAUCAUCUUACACUAAAGAACCAACCCAUCUUCAAAACACAAGAAUUUAGUACAAAUAAUUAUCCCAAUAAAGUUUAACGAAAAAGGAAAGAGAUAUUUUUAUUAUUUCUUUUCCUUUCUUUCAUUUCAAUUUCUUGCCUCCUGAGCUCUUCUAAAAGCCAACCAAACCACUUAUUUAAAAAAAAAAAAAAGGAACCAGACAAAGCGCAAGAAAAAAAAUUAAAAAAUUCGCAGUCUACACACAUCCCAGCACCGUAUGCGUCCAAUAAUUCAUCUCCAAUAAUUGCCCCUAUAUGACCACCGGUUUGUACUUGCAUAUAUGUGAAACAGGAUAAAAUCACAAUGUGUCAUUUAAUUAGCAGAGGUAACAAGAUCCUACAGAAAAGGGUUUACAGGAAAAGAAAGGAAAAAAAAUUGUUACAACAUACAGAAACCCAAAUAUUCUACUGGCUAACCCCCAUUAAAAUUCGAAACCAUUCUUAAAUCUCAGCUUAUACUACUUCAUCAUUCCUUCUGUGUACCCCCAACUGAAUUUCUGGCAGAAAUCACAUUUCUUCGUUAGCCUCAACUCAUGCAUCUUUUACUUUUAAUCAAACAUACUUUUUUAUCUGCUGGGCUUUUUAACAAAGAAUAAUUUUCCUUAGAUCUUUUCUAAUAGACAAGAAAGCACAAAGCACAAAUAUCUAGGAAUGUUUUUGCCCUUCAUCAUAGCACUUGCAAAGGCUCCAGGGUAUAGAAGAACCUUGGCUACAAAUUCCUGGGAAGACUUCACUUAUAAUCAACUGGAAGGAUGUCACCUCUACGGGCGUUGUACAUUUUCCACUUCUACGUGGUAUCCUGCAGAAACAAACAAUAAAACACGUGUUAUACAAGUAUUUUUUAAGUAUGAAAUACAUCAAAAGCAUUUAUGAUGCCAUUAAGUUUAGUCAAUACAAUCUCUCAAGGCAGGACAAGAGAUUUGAGAUUCAAACUCCACCUACGUAGGAAAGGAAUGUCAAAAAGAAAUGCGGUUGGGAUAGGUUAUUACGUUUUAUUCUUUUUAUUACUAGAAUUGAAUAAUGCUGCCUUUGACAGUAAAAUAAACGUCAAGUGAUAAUUGAAUUAUAAAAAAGUGAGGUAAAUGGUGAGAAAUAAUCACCAUUAUAAUUUAUAAUAUAAAAUGAGGAAAUAAUUAUGGAAGAAAUGGAAAGAAUUACCUGAAAAGAGGGAUUUGGAAGACAAUGAGACAAAAAUAUAAGGAAGAAGAAAUCGAAGAUAUAAUGCCUGCCCAUUUCUUUGACGAACCUGUAAAAUGUCGUGAUUGAGGGAAUUAAACCGUAUGACGUUUAUGAAAUACUAACUAGGCAACCCAAGAGGGGGGUGAAUUGGGAUUUUAAAAAUUAUCCUAGGCAAACCACACAACAAUUUAAUCUAAUGCCUUAAUAAAUUCGAAAACAAUAAAUUCAAUAAAAGCACAAUAAUAAAUGAGUAAGGGAAGAGAAAGCAAACCCAAGGAUUUUUACGUGGUUCGGCAAUCCCCGCCUACGUCCACGCCUCCAAGCACACCGGGCUUGAGGAUUUUACUAAGCUAGCCUCCCAAGGCUUCAAACGCUUACAAUUGACUUCCAAGGUGUCAAUGGACCUUUACAACAAGAGAUUAUCCCCAAUCUCUUAACCCAAGUGUAUCCCAACACUUACAAUCUUUUAACUUGAUUUUACAAAAAAGAUUACAAAUGAAUCUCUCUCACACAAUGUGUUUGAUCACAAGUGAAAGCUCAAUGUGUGAAUGAAUGAGAUGAAUACAAAGAUUUAAAGCUCAAUGAAAGUUGUAUUCUCAAUAUUUUGCUCAAUGAUGAUCGUUGGAAUUCUUCUUGUUUGAAUUGGAUUGAGAUUAUUUAUAGUUGGAGCUGAAAAACUAGCCGUUAUAGACUGUCUGCUAGAAAACGGUUCGCCGUUAACCAUUAACGGUUAACCGUUUAGGCCGGUCAAAGUUACCGUUGGGCCAAUUUUCAAAUAAACGGUUAGCCGUUUAUUCUUACCCUUUCGCCGUUAAUUUCCAGAGACCUGCAAAACAAAUUUGGUUUAACCGUUCUUAUUAAACGGUUCAAGGUUAACAAUCUGGAAAUAAUCGGUUAACCGUUUUCAGUAAACGGUUCACCGUUAGUUUCCAGAAUCAUCAUUUUAAUAAUACUUUACAGAACAUGCUUUCUGGAAAUUAUCGGUUAGCCGUUUUAAAUAAACGGUUAGCCGUUUGCUACAGUGAUUGCUACAGUGAAAAUAUUUUCUAAAUUUAUAAUUUAACCCCAAAACUUUAUAAAACUUUAUUACGGCCCAAAACGUUAUGAAACUUUGCACAUAGGUCCAAUUUCAGAAUUUCUAAAUAAUACUUUGUUAAUCCCAAAACUUUUUGAAAUUAUGGUAUAGCCCAAAAUGUUAUGAUACUUUUCAAAUAAGUCCUUUACCAAGAUUUCAAGCAAUACUUGUUUAUUUCAAAGUUUUCAAAAUUCUUUCAAUUAAACCAUAAACUUUGAAAAACAACCAAUUUCAUAAAAUCAUUUUUCCAUUAAAUAUGAAACAUUUAUAAUGUGAAAAUAAUGAUUUAUUUAAAAAGAAUAAAAACAAUCAAUUUCAUAAAAUUAUUUUUCCAUUAAAUAUAAAACAUUUAUAAUGUGAAAAUAAUGAUUUAUUUAAAAAGAAUAUUAAAUAAUUUGAGCUUAAAAGAUUAAUCAUUCUUAAUCUUAUUUGUUAUCAUCAAAAUCAAUAUUAUGAAAAUAUAUAUGUUAACAGUUUACUUUGGCGGCCCCCAGUCUUGUCAAUCAGAGAAUAUGUUUUGGCCGAAAUUCACAAUUCUUACCACGUGAUUUAAUUAAAGCACACAGAAUUCGUAAUUUUCUCCAGACAAUUUAAAUUAAACCCGCACUCUUUAUGGACUCCACUUUUAAGAAGGAUAUUGCCCACCGAGCAAACUAACCAAAACUCUUUUCCCUUCUGCGUUCAUUCUCCAACUCGUUGUCACUUUGUUUUGCUCUUCCUCUCUAUAUGAUUUUUAAGAACUAUUAAAUGUUUGUUUGUUUCUUAAAAAAAAUGUUUGUUUUUUUUUGUAUUAGAUGAUUAUAAAUAUUUAUUUAAUUUUAUAUUUUUUUAAAUUUUUUAUUAUUGUUUCAUUAUUUUUUAGUAAAUUUUUAAAAAUUAAAUAAAUUAUUUUUAUUUCUGUUAAUAAAAAUUUAAACUUUAAAUUUUUGAGGGAUGAGAUUUAUUUUUUUUAAAUAUUAAAAUACUUAAAAUAUCUUUUAUUUAUGUAAUAAUUUUAUUUUAUUUUUUUGUUAAAUAAUUUUAAAAAAAAUUAUUUAUUAAAAUAAUUUUAUAAUUUUUAAUAAAAACUCUUAUUAUCAAUUAAAUAACUAAAAUUAUUUUCAUAAAAACUUUUAUAAUAAAAAUCCUACCACACCGCAGAGUCUGCACUUACCUGCGCGUACUGUUUAAAACCCCUCACCGGCUCUGCUCUCGCCACCAAUAUUAAGAAAGAUACUUUGUUGUGGUGGCAUUUUGGUAAAAAAUAUGGGCCCCCAAAAUAAUCAUAAUAAUUAAGGAUUUAGCUAUGUGGCAACGGGUACACCAUACACUUUUUUUUUUUUUUUUUUUGUGCUGCCACAGUUAGAUCCAACACAAAAGUAGUAUUAAGAGCAAGAUGUGUUUGUUUGUUUAUUAACAAUGCAAUCCCUAAUAUUUGUCAAAAAUUUUAAAAAGUUAAAGUUUAUAAAAUUUUGUGCCAAUAUUUUUUUCCCAAAUUCUCUUAGCACAAUUAAUUGUGUUAUGGUAUCCACUUUUGCAGGUUAUAAUCAAGAGAUCAGACAUGAUAGAUACAUAAAAAAUAAUAUAAAAUAAAAAAAUUUUGAAUUUUUGUUAAAGCUCUCAUUUCUAAUAAUUUGUUAAAAUAUUCUUUUACCUAAGAAAACAAACUCAUUGACAUAAUAAAAAGAGUUUUACUGAUAAAAUAAUAAUUAUUCAAUUAUUAGAAGUGCUACAGUUAGAUUUUUUUAAGUUGAAAAUGUAGAGAAGCAUGGAGGAGAAGAGGAGAAGAAGACACAUAAUAAAACAUAAAAAUUUUCAAUUUAUUUAUACCUGAAUUCCAUUGUAUGAUGAAUAGAUUGUAGGUACAAAAAUAUAUUUAUGUGAUUUUCUUUUAUAUAAAAAGUUCAAUUCAUUAUUGCUUAUAUGAUAUAGAGCAAAUUAAUCUUAAGGUAAUGAGAAAGUAGCUUCAAUGAGAAUGCCAAGCUUCUCUUAUUGAUUGUAAUUGAUUGAUUACAUAUUUAAUUAAAAAAAUUCAAAAGGACGUAGAGGUGAGGGUUUUGAAGAAAGAGAAAAAAGAAAUUACUUCAAUAAUUUGUAAAUACAGAAGAGAUUAGGGGGUCAAAAAAUACAAAAAGUAGGGUAUGGUGGACCCAUUGUACCGUAGCUCAACUCAAGCCAAUAAAUUAAUUGUUUUAUCCUAUAAAUAAAAAUUAAUGUUGUGUAUUUGCCUAUAACUUGAGGAGGUAAUAAAAGUCUUUCGUUAUACUCUACUGUUAGUUUCUCGCCUUUUAUUCCUCUGAAAUCUUUCAACAAAAAUGGGUGGCGUCAUCUCAACCUUCUUAUCAGCGGACACAAUUCGUCCAAUUUUAUCUUACGUUGGUGGAGAAGCUAAGUAUAUAUGGGGUCUAAAAGAUAAUCUUGAUGACUUGCAGACUCAGAAGGAGAAGUUGAUUGAGAAAAAAGAAGAUAUGCUGAAUGAGGUUGAGCUUGCUGAACAACGACCCCGAACCAGACGGACGAGAUCGGUGCAACGCUGGUUUGAAAGAGUGGAUCGAAGGGUAACUGAAGUUGAGAGGCUGCAACAAGAAAGAGAUCAAGAGAUUGACAGAUUGUGCCUUGGAGGCUUCUGUUCCAAGAACUUGAUCUCAAGCUACAGCUUCGGGAAAAGAGUGGAGAAGAUGAAGAACGAAGUGAUCGAAUUGAAGAAAGGAGGAGAAGCAAUCAAUCCACUUUAUGAGGAGGUACCAGAAGGUGCAGCGGUUGCAAUAGCUGUUGACCGAACAAUUGUCGGUCAAGAAUCAAUACUAGACCGAGUUUGGAGAUGCAUCACCGAUCAAGAACAGAAUAAGGGAAUUAUUGGCUUAUAUGGUAUGGGGGGCGUCGGCAAAACUACUCUGUUAAAGCAAGUCAAUAACAAAUUCUGCAGUGAUGAACAGCAUCAUUUUGGUGUCGUUAUCUGGUCGGUUGUGUCGAGAGAGCCAAACUUGAAGCAGAUUCAAGUGGAUAUUGGAAAAAGGAUAGGCUUCUCAACAGAUUCAUGGCAGAGAAAAAGUUUUGAAGAAAGGGCUUCAGACAUCACCAACGCUUUAAAGCAUAAGAAGUUUGUAUUGUUAUUGGAUGAUAUAUGGGAGUCCAAAAUUGAUUUAACCGAAUUGGGCGUCCCUCUUCAAAGAUUAGAUUCUGGGUCCAGAAUAGUUUUCACAACUCGUUUUCGUGGUACUUGUGGUGAAAUGGGAGCUGACGAGCGGUUCGAAGUGUCCUGUUUGGGAGAUGACGAUGCCUGGAAAUUUUUUGAGGGGGUGGUUGGGAGAUACGUUCUCGACAAGCAUCCCGACAUUCCGGAGCUAGCCAAAGCUAUGGCAAGGCAGUGUCAUGGUUUGCCGCUAGCACUCAAAACAGUAGGUAAUGCCAUGGCGAGCAAAGAGUACCCUCAAGAAUGGAGUCACGCCAUUGAGAUCAUAAGCAGAUCAGCUUCUAAAUUCAAAGAUAUGGAAAAACAGGUGCUUUCGCGUUUGAAGUUCAGCUAUGAUAGUUUGCCCACUGACGAACUUCGUUCUUGUCUCUUGUACUGUUGUUUAUUUCCGGAAGACUCUGAAAUUCCAAAAACCGACUUGAUGGAGUAUUGGAAAAGUGAAGGAUUUGUGGAUUCUAGCAGCGGGUGGGGGGUUCUUGGUGCUCUCCUUCGUGCAUGCUUAUUGGAGGAAGCAGGCUUAGUGGACGAAGGAGGUAAUCGUGUAAAAAUGCACGAUAUGAUUCGUGACAUGGCAUUAUGGAUAGCAAAUGAAAUAGAGGAGGAGGAGGAGAACUUCUUGAUUCGUGCAGGAGUUGGAUUAACUGACGCCCCAAAGAUUGAAGAAUGGGAAGGGGUCAAAAGGAUAUCCUUGAUGGAGAACAAAAUUCAAAGUCUACCACAAAUUCCCACUUGUCCGCGUCUCCAGACUUUGCUUCUAAAUCGAAAUCAUAUUGCGAAGAUCACUGACAGUUUCUUUCAAUCUUUGCCUUCGCUUAGAGUUUUGAAUCUAAGUGGAAAUCAUUACCUAACUGAACUACCUGUAGGAAUUUCAAGUUUGGUUUCAUUACACCAUCUUGAUCUGUCUUAUACUCCCCUAACUGAACUUCCUGUAGGGAUUUCAAGUUUGGUUUCAUUACACCAUCUUGAUCUGUCUUCUACUGAAGUACGUGGGUUGCCGCAAGAGCUCAAGGCAUUGGUGAAUCUGAGAUAUUUGAACUUGGAGUAUACACGUAAAAUGUCUAGAAUUCCAGAGCAAUUGAUAUCAAGCUUUCCAAAGUUACAGGUGCUCAGGAUGCUGAGUUGCGGUUCUGAGAUAUUUCCAAUAGUGGAAGAAGGCAACGUUCUAUCCGAUGGUGCUGAACCAUUGAUUAAGGAAAUCCACUGUUUGGAACAAUUAAAUCUCAUCACCUUGUCCUUACGUGGUACGCGUGGUGUUGAAAACUUUUUGAAAUUCCCAAAGCUGCAGAAUAUCACUCAAGCUCUGUCCAUCGAACACUGCAACAGUCUACCGCUCAAUUUGUUGCAUCUAUCAAACAUGGAGCAUCUUGAGAAGCUACACAUCGAGGAAAGUAAUUUGGAAGACUGGAAUGUCGACUGCGCAGGCGAGGUACAAAAAAUGCGUAAACUUCACUUUGUUACAAUAUACGAAUGCUCAAAUGUGAAGGACUUUACGUGGCUUGUUUUUGUUCCAAAUCUCAAGUGGCUACGAAUAUGUUAUUGUGAUGACAUGGAAGAAAUAAUCAGUGUUGAAAAAUUGAGUGAAGUUUCGGAGAUGAUGGGAGAGCUUAACUUGUUCUCAGAACUCGAACUUCUGGUAAUAAGAAAUGCAAGUAAUUUGGAGCGCAUCUACCGCGUUCCCUUGCCCUUUCCACAGCUGAAGGUAAUUGACAUAUCGGAAUGCCCAAAGUUGAAGAAGCUCCCGCUCAAUUCCAGCAGCGCAAAGGGACGUAAAAUUGUCAUUUACGGGGAGAAAGAAUGGUGGGAAGAGCUACAAUGGGAGGAUCAAGCCACUCAAAAUGCUUUCUCUCCCUGUUUCCUACCUGAUGAAUAAUAAAGUGCAAUAAGGCGCAAAAGUGUGAAUAAAAUUUCUGCGUGUGCUUAAUGUUAGGCACUAUUAUUCAGGCUUAAAUAAUAACAAUAAAAUACUACACCGUGUCUGCUUUCUUUUACUUUUCUUGGUUCUGUUGUAAAAUUCAGUUCUAUUUGAAGGAAAUUAUUAACAUCAAAACUAAAUACUUCGUGAGCAUCUACUGACAACAUACUCCAGAUGACACCAUAACCAUAUCAUAUAAAGCAAGAAAUGUGAAAUAAAUACAAAAUGAAUCACAGGAGGAAAUCACCACACUCUGCGGUCUCUCCUGCUAAACCCUGCAGUUAGAAUGCCAUUUGUCGUGAGCACCUGAAUCCCCAAAGGACUCCCAGCUUCAAGUGGCUUUGACUUAGCUUGCUUUAGCUCCAUUGCACAUACUCACUCACAUGGAGGAAAUGAACAGAACAAGAAACCUCAUCAAGCCGAAUAUGAUAGAUAUGACAAGGCAUUACACUGUAGGAAGCUCCCGAUUUCUCUAAAAAACUUUGCAGGUUCUCCGCAAUCAAGGCGUGCUCCAUCUUUAACAGAUCACUUCUACCAUUAAGAGAAGGGAGAGAGUUCCUCUCGUGUGACAGUAAAUCCUUACUUAACACAGGAUUGGAGCCAACCAAGAAGGGAAGGCAAUUUCGUUAGAUUAAGAACCGAAUCACCAUCCAAAAUAGUAGCAUUUGAACCAGAACUCUUGUUAAAUUCUUGAAAUCUCCUGCUUUCAUCAGUCUGUAAGAGAAAUGAAGAUGAGAAUAAUAGCCAGAACCGGAUUAAAUUCAAUCUGGUCUUUUGAAGACUUCUAUAACAACUAAGAGAACCCAGUGUACCGCCUACAGAUACUGUCAGGCUUCUAUCAAAUAUCCCAAACACCAAAAACAAACCAAAUUAAGCUAACAAACCUGCAUGAAUAUCUAAAUUUCAAUGCACAUGAAACAAACUCCGUCUUCAAUCCACCAAAACUAGCAAAUUUCAAACUUUAUCCCUCAUCACUCUCUCUCUGUCAGCUGUAUGAGGCUACGAGAUCAUGUUAUAAUGUUCAUAUUGAUGCUGAAUGUUUUGCCAGCUUGUCUGAAUUCCAUAAGAGAAUGCAAUUUGCACAUUAUUGUGCCUUGCCCACCAUUAGAUUCUAAACCACAAAAUCAUUGUGUGAGUAGCUGACGUUUCGCACAUUCUUAUCCCUUAUCAUCAAUAUUCUUCUCCUCAAGCUUAGAUCAUGGAAAUUUGAGUGACAAACAUGAUAACAUGGUAACACCAUCUAAACUUUAGGGGCAUAAAGUAACAUAGAAGCAACAUGGGAUGUUUUAAAAUCUAUUAUAAUUUGCUUAGGCCCCUGAAUAAAAUUAAAACUUGAAAUGAAAUAAAGUAGCAAAAUAAAGAUUGGAGGUCGCAUGCUUGAUAUUUGAUGCUGUCAAAAUUAAUUUGCAGUGCUGAAAUUGCUGCUCCAAUAAAUUUUUCAAUGGGAUUUCUAUAUUUACAACAAAUUUUCAGUAUUGAAACAGGAUUAAAAUCAUAAAGUGUCUUUUAAACAGCAGAGGCAACAAGAUCCUACAGAAAAAGAAGGCAAAAAGUAGUUACAAGCUACAGAAACGCAAAUAUUCUACUGGCCCACUCCCACUAAAUUCGAAGCGAUUCUAAAAUCUCAGCUUGUACUACUACAUCAUUCCUUCUAUGUGGCCCAACUGUACUUCACCCAGAAAUCACAUUUCUUCAUCAGAGAUAAUUUUACUUCUAAUCAGAGAUUAUUUUUUAUAUGCAUGGCUUUACAGUAAUGAAUAAUUUUCCUUAAAUCUUUUCUAACAGACAAGAAAGCACAAAGCACAAAAAUUCAUAUAAACAACUUUUCUCGAAGCUUUUUCAUAAGAAAACCUGAACAUGAUUGCUUCUCUUAGAAGGCCCCCUAGCUUCCUGCAAGAACCUGGUGUUCCAAAAAAAAAUGAUUAUAAUUAGGCAUAAGGUCCUAAUGUUCUUGCAGGAAUUAUGAUGAAUAUCAGGGUUUCAAAAAAAAAAAAAUUAAGACAACGAUUACGGAUUUAAAGCACACAGAAUUUACACUUUUCUCCAUGUGAUUUAAAAGCACACAGAAUUCUCCUGACCUUAAUUGAAAUCCAAUAUUGUAGACUCAUUGUUGUAGCUAGAAAAUCAUAUUAAUAGAGUAAAAUUUAUAAAUAAUCAAAGAAAAGAGUUCACGCUCUUACUUCAUUACUUUUAUAAUCUUAUUAGUAUAUCAACUUACAUGUCUUCAGAAAAUACAGUUUUAAGGGGAUAUUUUUAUGGUUGUAGAUAUUUUUAUUUUUCUUCUUAAUAAUAGAUUUAAUUUUCAUAUUUCUAAUGUUAAGUUGCAGAUUUGGACUAAAUCAGAUUAAAUUUCAAAUUAGAUCACCGACCUUAUUUUAAUAGGUUCAAUUGGAUUUUGGACAUCUAAUUAAACAACUGGAAUAAUAAAUUGCAAAUGAAUGAGAUUUAUAUGUGAUUUUAAAAUAAAAUUUGAACUCAAAUCUAUGUAUUCAAUUAAUCCAACAGGACAAAUUUAUAAUUUCCACCAACUAAAUAAAAUAUGUUAUCAGAAACUUUUGGAUCAAGUCGGGGCAGUGUAUUACUUCGUGGGUCUGCUACUACUUAUAGUCCAUUCUCAUUUCAACUUUCACAUCUUUUAUAUUAUGUACAAAUUGGAUUAUAUUCUAAAAAAGUGUUUCUAAUUGUUUAACGUUUUAUUUCUGGGUAUAUUUAGAGAUUAAAAAAUAUGGGAAACAUAAUCAAUUUUAUCAAAUAAAAAGGAGUAUUGUUCAUUUUUUCAUAAACAAUGUGUUAAAAUACUUUUGGUUUUUAAGAAGUAACAAUUUUUAUUUUCAUAAAAUAGCAUUCAAAAUUAUAUUAAAUAAAAUUAAAGAUUAACAAAACUGACAUCUGAAUUUCGUGUAAAUUAUAAUAAGUUUGUCUCCAGCAUGAGUAACAUUAAAGCUUGGCUAGCAUCAUCAUAUUUUAUCUCCAGCAUCAAAAUUCUGAUAACAUCAACAUCAUAAUUCCAAGGUUGUCAAACUAAUCAUCUCAAAAUGUCAUUAUACUUAUAGCGUGCUGGCAUUAUCUUUACUUUCUGCAUCAAAAUUCUUUUAUUUAAUACACUUUUAUUUCAUACAAUUUUUUAUCAAAUUAAGAUCCUUUGUGAUCUAAACUCUCUUGAACUUUUAAAAAUCUUAUGCCACCUCUUCUUUAGUAAUAGUAAUAGUAAUAAUAUGAUUAUGAUUUAAUUAUUUUAUUUUUUAAUUUAUCAAACACCAAUCACUUAAAUUUAACUCAAGAAAAAAUUAGAACAUCAAAGAAUUUUAAUUGCUUCUUAUUAAGUACUAGAAUUAACUUCUCCCAAUGAUAAUUUAUUAAGCAGACCAUAAUGAUCAUCUUACGCUAAAGAACCAACCCAUCUUCAAAACACAAGAAUUUAGUACAAAUAAUUAUCCCAAUAAAGUUUAACGAAAAAGCAAAGAGAUAUUUUUAUUAUUUCUUUUACUUUCCUAGUGGCUCUGCUACUACCUAUAGGCUAUAGUCCAUUCUUAUUCAACAUUCAGAUCUUUUAUAUUAUAUGCAAAUUAAAAUAUAUUCUAAAAAGUGUAUCCAACUGGUUAACAUAUUAUUUCUAGAUAAUAAUCAAUUUUAUCAAAUAAAAAAGAGUUUUUGGUCAUUCAUUUGGCUCCGUUGCCACUUGUACGUUACAAAAGCUUUUGUCUAUGCUGACUCAGUUACUGUAAAAUGUCGUUCAGCCCCUUAUACUCUAUGUUAUUUAUAAUUUAUUUAUAAGAAUUAUGAAAAUUUCUACUUACCUACACUAUCAAAAUUCAAUUUAUCUCCUCACAAUCUUUUUCAUUUACUAUUUUUUUCUAAGUAUUAAAAGAGUUCUAUUUACAACCACGACAUAUUAAUCAUCAUAACACACAAAUAUUAAUAAAAAGAUAAAAAUAUCCUUAAAUUAAUACUAAAAAUGCUUUCCUCUCUUCUUUAUAAUAUCAUAUUAUAAUAAUUAAUACUUUCAUGAUAAAAGAAUUAAAAAAAUAAAAAUAAAUUCCCUUUGAAUCCAUCCCUCUCUAAUAUCAUUUUCUCUUCAUUAGGAACAUUUAUCGACAAUUGAAGCCACCAUCAGACUCAUCACACAGAGAGAGUGAGAGAGGGGAAGAAGAAACAGAGAAAAAAUAUAUGAGACAUUUACAAUUUUAUAGUGUGUUUAUUCAACGGGAUUUAUAUAUAGUUGCUAAGGGGUUUCAUCAGACACAAGGAGUUGAUUACACUGAAACUUUUAGUCUAGUAGUUAAGGCUUCAACAGUCAAAGUUAUUCUUAGCCUAACAGUACUUAACAAGUGAAUAAGCAGACAAGUGGAUGUUAAUAAUGUCUUCCCCUAGCAGUACUUAACAAAUGAAUAAUCAGACAAGUGGAUGUUAACAAUGCCUUCCUUAAUGGCAUUUCAGUUGAAGAAGUUUACAUGGCACAACCUGAGGGGUUUGUGGAUCCUACUAAACCCCAACACAUCUGCAAAUUAAAAAGGACUAUAUAUGGCUUGAAGCAAGCUCCCAGGCUUGGUUUGACAAAUUCAAAGCUGCAAUGAUUACUCAAUGGCAUUUUCAACACUCAAAAUCAGAUAAGUCUCUCUUCUAUAAAUGGAUCAAUGGUCAUGUAAUUCUAGUUCUGGUUUAUGUUGAUGAUAUCAUACUCACUGGUUCAAAUUCUUACUUAAUUCAGCCAGUCAUUCAAGACAUGCAUCACACCUUUGCUUUAAAAGACUUGGGAGCUCUUAACUAUUCUCUAAGAAUUGAAGUGGUUAAAUUAGCAAAUGGCAUUUAUCUGUCUCAAGCAAAAUAUAUUGCUAAUAUAUUGGCAAACAUGAUAUGGUUCACUGCAGUCCAUUACAUAUUCCUAUGUCUACCAGUCACUACCUCACAAAAGAUUCAAGUGACAUUAUUGCAAAUGUGUCUCAGUACAGAAGUAUCUUAGGUGCAUUGCAAUAUGUUACUCUUACAAGGCUUGACAUAACAUAUAUAGUUAAUAAACUAAGUUAGUUUUUAUUUAGUCCUCGAACACAACAUUGGGAGGCUCGCAAAAGGUUGCUAAGGUACUUAAAAAGAAUUUUACAUCUUCGAUUGCAUUAUUACACAAAUGGAGCUAUGCAGAUACAUUAUUUCAUAGAUUCUAAUUGGGCAUGUGAUAGGGAUGACAGGAAAUCACUUGCUAGUUUUGCAGUCUAUCUAGGUCCCAAUUUAGUCUCAUGGUCAUCCAAGAAACAAGCAGUGGUAUCAAGGUCAAGUAUAGAAGCAGAAUAUAGAGCAUUAGCUCAUGCUACUUCAGAGGUCAUGUGGAUACAAUCUCUUCUUAGUGAGUUGCAAAUUAAACUUAGCACCACUCCCAUAAUAUGGUGUGAUAAUCAAGAAGCUAUUGCCUUAGCAUACAAUCCAUUUUAUUAUGCCAAAACCAAACAUGUUGAGCUAGAUAUACACUUCAUUCGAGACAAAGUUGUAGCUAAGAGCAUUGAGGUUAGUUAUGUGCCCAGUGAAGGUCAACCAACUGAUGUAUUAACCAAAGCUCUCACUUUUAAGCAGUUUCAUUGCUUGUGAAGCAAGCUGAAUGUCUAUCCUGGACAUUUUAGCUUGAGGAGGGAUGUUAGUGAUAUUGAAUUUCAAGCAAAGCAGAGCACAAAAUCAUUAUAUGACUGACCACAACUGAUUCACUCAUUAAGCUAACUUGGCAAGUUAGUUAUACAGCUCACCUCACAUGUAUCAAAUUUCGCGUGUGUAUAACAGAUUGUAUGAAUCAUUUAGCUUGCUAUAUAAAUAUGUAAUGUGUACUCAGUUUUCAAUUAGUUAAUUACAAAGGAAUCUUAUAUUUGCUUCUAUACAAAUUCUCUUUACUUUUCUUUCAUUUUCUUGCCAAACAACACUUUCUUUAGAAUUCUUUCAUGAAAGGCAAUGAGACAAAAAUGUAAAGAAGAAGAAAUUGAAGAUAGGGUAGGGCUAUUGGCUCUCUAAAAUUUAUUUUGGACAUUGAUGUGAUCUUUAAAAAAAAAUUACAUAAUUUUAUUCUUAGGUUAUGUUUAUCUCUUUGAGUUGUUAUCAUAGUUCAUUUUGAUUAAAUAAAAGUAGUUGUUGUAUUAACAUAAUUCUAAUGAACAUAGGUUUUAUUGUGCUUUUAAUCUUUAGGUCCAACUUCUGUAAGAUAGUAUUUAAACCAGCAUCAAUGUCAAUAAUAGCAGGCUGAAAUGUUUCUUUUGGAGACUGAAUAGUUGUAUUGGGAGAUAUGUCCCUCAAAGUACCAAAAACAUAUUUAUUAAAGCUUAGUUUCCUUGAAUUUGCCCAUUUAUCACUUGUUCUUUUUAUUUUGUUUGAUUUCCUGUUGUAAUAAUUUGUGUCUGUAAGACUAUAACAGACACUCACAUUUUAAUAGUUCUUUAUAUCACUAAAUUAACCUUAAUGUAAAAUUAACCGUAAUGUAAUUUACUAUUAAGGACAAUUUAAUAAAAUAUAGUUCAAUAAAUUUUUAUCCAACAUCUUAUUUUAUCUACAAUAAACUAGAUAAACAAUGAAGAAAUGAAUAAAAGUUCACGUGAAAACGAUGUCUAUACUUAUGGGCUAAACCUUUUUUUUUCAGUUUUUUUGUUAAUAGAAUUGUUAGGAAAACAUCAUGUAACACGUUCCAUCUUUUGUAACAAAAGGAAUUAAAAACAGAGGUGGAGGAAGAACAAUAAAUUGCACCACUACAACAUAUGAAAAACGAAAGAAAUCAAAGGAUAAAAUCUGUUUCAAAUUUGUUUUCUGAUCUUCACUCAAUCUAAUCUGCAUGCUUUCAUGGAUUUGAAAAACAAAAUUGAAUUGCGACAUUAAAGAGAAGAACAAACAUAUGUCAAACCAUAUUAUGAAAGCAAAAUAAAAGUUGAUAAAAAAUGAAAAAAAGUUCAAACAUUUUGUUUGUGAUGAUGAAUAUUUUAUUAGAUGUAAAGAGGAAAUAAGAUAAUUAAAGAAAUGGGUAAUGAGAACAAUAAAGGAAGUCGAAAAAUAUUUCAAAUACAAAUUAAUAUUUUGAAAUUAUUAAUUGAGUGUUCAAAAUAAAUUUUAGAAUGUAAGAAGUGCAUCGCUGCCCAUUUCUUUGAUGAACCCAGUAGAAACAGCUUUAAAAUUAUAGAAACUGUAAAACGCUGUAAAAGUGAAAACUUUAAAAAGCUUGCUCUAGUAUUUAAACCUUUAAUAGUGCAAAGUCACAAGUCUUGCAGCUAGUUGAUAUAUCCCCAAGCUAAAAACAUGUGUUGUAUACUCAUUUUUUAUAGUGAUACUAGAACUAUUAUUAUCUUAUGUCUAUGUACGUAUGUUUACAAUUUAUUUCAUAAAUUUACUGAGACAAGUGCCGAAAUUUAUGGCGAAGUACGUCCAAUCUAUUGUCACUAAGGCCCUAUUUGGUAUUUAGAUAAUGUAGUUUUUGUGAAAAAAAAUAAUGUAAUUAAGAAAUAAAAAUUAAUAAUAUAUAGUAAUAUGACUUGUAAAUAAUAAUUUGAAAAAAAUAAUAAAGAAUUAUAAGUUUUUUCAAAAUAAAAGUGGUGGAUCAAAUUAAUUUAGCUUUCAAGUCAUAGCAAGUAGUGUUUAUCAAAUAUAAAAAGUUAUAAUUAUCCAAUCUCAAUCAGAACCUGAGCAUUUUUAGCAAAAACAAUACUUUUAUUCUAUAUUUUACAAAUAUCUUCACCAUUAUUCAGAGCACCAACCCUUAACUUUUUUCGAUUAUGUUUGGUAUAACUUUUUAAGCAGAACUUUUACUAAAAAAAAUAAUUGUUUGAUUGUCAAUGAGAUUUUUUAUUAAAAUUUCUAGAAUUACUUUAAUAGGCAAAUUUCUUAAAGUUAUGUUAUGAAAUGAAUAAAAUAAAAUUGUGAAAUAUAUAAAGCAUAUUUUAGACAAUAUAAUAUUUUUAAAAAAUUUUAACCUCUACUCCACAAAAUUUAAAAUUUAAACUUUUAUUAGUACAAAUAAAAUAAUUUAUUUAAUUUUUUAAAAAUUUUACUCAAAUUAUAAUUAAAUAAUAUUAAGUCUUAAAAAAAAGUUAUAAGAUUAAAUAAAUAUAUUUGACUGAACAUACACUAACUUGAACUCUUGAAAAAUAAAUAUUUUGCGCCACAUAAGUAGGGUCCAAUUAUGUUGCAACUGAUGUAUUAUACCAGAGUUCCUCUUUUUUUCCCCGUAUUAUUGGAUAAUUGAUGCAAAUUAAGCAAAGUUGUUGGGUGCUUCUCGUUCAAUCUAGCAGUUGAAAUUAAUUAUUGGAUAAUUGAUGCAGCGACUAGCAACCGUUGCAGCCGGUUGUAUAUUAAUUUAAUAGCAGUUCAGCGAGCGUGGGUUUCGAAAAUUUGUUAGUGCUGAUUAGAGUCUCACUGAUUUCAUCUGAAAAUUGAUCUCGAGACAUCAAUUAAGACAUAAAAUUAGAAUUAGGGGAUCGCAGUUUUUUUGGGAAUUAAAAUUUCCCUAUGAUUCAUACAUGAAUAUGGCCUCUCACUUGUAGGGAAUUGACGGUGAAAUUAUAAUCGUCACAGCAGAAUGCAAUCAAAAGUUACGGUGCUAAAAGUUUAGGCAUAUAUCAAAUUAGAGUGAAUCUCGCAUCACUUUGAUUUGGUCUUAUGCCGAUCGAAUCACCUGAUGCAGUAUGUAAUUCCUUAUUAAAACUUGCAAUUUUUUAUUUUGAAAAGAUUUAAAAUUUGUAAUUUCAUUACAGAAAUGAGGCGGGGGCUCACAAACAGAAAGCUAGCGAUUUAAAGAGCCACAGUCAAGCUUUAGAAGCCGAUGGUAACAUAGUUAGAACAAUAGAAUCUGAUAGCGUUAGGGAUUCAUAAGCUAUUUGUAAGUAUUUGUACUCCCUGACUAAAUAAUUUGGGAAUAUAAGGAUGCAAUAAGAGUUGAGUGGUCUUUAUUCCAAUAGCAUUAUUUUUUUCGAGCUUCAUCCGUGCUCUAUUCAAUCUUUAUGUGCCGCUUGUGUUAUGUUCCUGCAUAUCUAAUUACCUUUAGAUGCUAGUUGAUAUUUGACAAUUUUGCAGGUUAAGGAUAUUAGAUGGGAUGCAGAGCUUGGCAGUCAGAACAUGGAAUCACGGUUGGUUGAAUACUUUGUAGAUGAGUUUAAUAAACAAGUUGGUAAUUGGGUGAAGUGAGGAAGUCUCCCAAGGCCAUGGCUGAACUGAAGAAGCAAGUUAAAUAUACAAGAGCAAUUCUUUGUGCGAACACAAUGGAACCAAUAUCAGUUAUAUCUUUCCACGAUGAUAGGGACUUCAGAUAAGUGGAGUUAAAGUUCAGAUUUUACUGUUUGAGGUGCGUUUGAAGUUUAUUAACAAAAUUAAUGUGUUCUUUAAAUGAGUGAGGAACUGUAGAACAUGACAAGUAGAGUUUAUUGUGUGAGGGAUGCAUAUUCUCUUACAAGUGCUUUGUUCUUUAAUAUAGCACUAUAAGACAUCUUCUGAUGAAAAAUAGAGUCAAUAAAAUUACUCCAGACUGACUGGGCCGUUACGUUUUGGAUUCCAAUUCUUGCAUGAGAUUUCUUUUUCCUUUUUUUCUUUUUUCAAAUUUACUAGUGGUACUUUCAUUUGGUAAACUAUUCUAUACAUACAUAUAUAUAUAUAUAUAUAUAUAUAUAUAUAUACUCUAAUCAAUUAUAUUGGCUUAUUCUCCUUUUAUGUUGAUUCACGCUGCUGGUAUAGAUAAAAUUUAUUUAUUAGUUUUGGUGAAAAAUUUGUUUUGUUGCACACGGAUAGUAAACCCAAAUACAUUCAUAUGUGUUAGAGCAGCUCAUUAUGCUGAACAGAAGAAGGUGAAGACUAAGAUGAAGAAAAUACAGAGCAAGUUACAGGGCAAGUGUGUCAGCAGUGCCAGCUCAGCUAACAGCUCAGCAGAUUAGUUAAAGAUGGUUGUAAGCAUGAUGUGCAUUGUACUGAAGUUAGUUAGCUUUGAUUACAGUUAGUCUUUGGAUUAGUUAAAUGAAGUUACCGUGAUUGCAUUGUAUAUAAACAUGUGAUGCUUUGUAAAAAGGUUAAGCAAAAUAAAAAUCAAAGUUUGUUAAGGAAAUAUCUCCAGAAUUAUCAAUUCAUUUUCUUAGUAACCAAACAACUUUAUUUUCAUUUUCUUUCAUGGUAUCAGAGCCACUCUAAUGGCUAGUUCCAGUAGCACAACAUCAAAUCCAAAUCAAAUGAAUAUAAAUCAAUCAUCACAUAUCUCCUUUUCGUUCAGCACUCCAGUCAAAUUGGAUCGAUCAAAUUUCAUGAUUUGGCGAAAGCAAGUUCUUACUACAAUAAGAGGAAAUCGUCUUGAAGAUUUUAUUUCUGGAAAUCAAAUCAUACCAGAACAAUACAUUUCUAAUACAGUAGCUGAUGGAUCAGUACAGAGAAUCACGAAUCCAGCUUACAUCAACUGGCGAGCUCAGGAUCAAACUUUGCUUGGCUGGAUUUUGUCAUCCAUAAGUGAAGGUAUCUUAAAUACUGUUCUUAAUUGCGAAAAUUCAUUUGAAGCAUGGAGAUCAAUUGAAAAACAAUUUGGAGUACAAUCUGAGGCUAGAGUUAUGCAAUUGAGGUAUGAAAUGAAUGUCCUUAGAAAAGAGAAUAUGUCUAUUGAGGAGUACUGUUUAAAAGUAAAAGUUGUUGCUGAUAAGCUUGCUUGUGCUGGUAGCCCUGUGUCUGAGAAAGAUCUGCUAAUGCAAAUUUUGAAUGGCCUAGGACCUGGAUUUCUAGAUCUUGCUUCAAUAAUUACUGCUAAUAGAAUGUCGUAUGAUGAUGCUUAUGCAUUACUCUUAACACAUGAGGCAAGAAUGGAACAAAAUCAUAAUACUAAAGAUCUUUUUAGUGCAAACUAUGGGAUGAUGAAUGCUAACUACUCUCAGUUUAGAGGAAAUAAUAAGAGAGGUGGUUAUAGUGGAUAUCAAGGGCAAUUUAAUGCUGGAAAUAGGAAUCAAAAUGGAGGAAGAGGAAUGUUUUUCAAUUCAUUCUCAAGAGGUUUUCCAGCUGGUGGAUAUACUGGUAAUGCUGGUGGCAGAGGACAGCAAAUGAAUGCAUAUGCUUAUAAACCUGUGCUUAACAACAGGCAUAAUUUCAAUAUGAAUCAUGGCUCAACUUCAAUGUCCAAUGGAAAUGGAUCUGAUGAUAAUGUGCUUAUCUGUCAAAUCUGUCAUAAAGCUGGACAUGCAGCUGAUGUUUGUUGGCACAGACACUUUGAUGGCUAUGCUCCUCAACCCAGACAAUUUGGAAGGGGCAGAGGGCAUAAGUCUGCUUAUAUGGCUAACUUUGAUCCACAAAUUGGCUUUACUUCACAAUUUGAAGAUUCAUUUGCUACAGAAUAUCCUGGUUAUCAUGGGUACCAUCCACCUGAUAUGAAUGCAUCAGUUGCAUCAGUAAGUCAUCACUCAUCUGAUAUGCAUUCUGUACCUGGAGCAGCUUAUAUUGCAAAUUUUGAAGGACCAGCUGAUGAAGGGUGGUAUCUUGAUAGUGGAGCUACGCAUCACAUCACUAACAACAUGGCCAAUAUGCAUAUCAGAGAUCAAUUCACUGGAGCAGAUCAGCUCAUUAUUGGAAAUGGACAAGGUUUGCCCAUAACUCAUGUUGGUGAUGCAUCCUUUCUCUUUAAAAGUUCCAAUUCUACACACAAACACUCACCUAUAGUACUUAAAGAUAUUCUGUUGGUGCCUUCCAUUACCAAAAAUUUGUUAAGUAUCUCGAAGCUUACCACUGAUAACAACUUGUCUGUUGAAUUUCUUGGAAAUGUUUGUUUUGUGAAGGAUUCUCUGAGGGGACAGGUACUUCUGCAGGGUCUUGCUGAGAAAGGGUUAUACAGGCUGUUAUUGAAAUCAUCAUCAUCCUCUCAGUUAUCAUCAUCUUUUCUUUCUCACAUGUGUUCCAAUAAACCUUUGUCUAUGCUUUCUUGUUGUUGUUUCAAUUCUGUUCCUUCUGGAGUUGUUACAGAAUCUCAGAAAUCAUGUAAUCAAACUGAUGAUUCAUCUUGUAAAACUUCAGUUAAUAAAGCUAUUUUGCUUCAUAGAAAGUUUGGUCAUCCCAAUCAUCAAAUAUUAACUCAUAUACUCAAAACAGCAAAAUCUAUUCAUUUACCUGCAUAUCAAAAGCAACAAAUGCAUCAGUACAUCUGUGAGGCCUGUCAAAUGGGCAAAACACAUAAACUUCAUUUUCCAAUUACUGAAACCAAAACCUCCAAAACUCUAGAACUUAUACACACUGAUUUAUGGGGUCCUUCUCCCAUUAUUUCUAGAGAUGGUUAUCAGUAUUAUAUAAGUUUUGUAGAUGACUACAGCAGGUAUACAUGGAUUUAUCCUUUGAAGCUAAAGUCUGAGGCAUUAGAAGUCUUUAAGCUCUUUAAACUGCAGGUUGAAAAUCAGUUUAGCACAACCAUUAAGAUGAUGCAAUCUGAUUGGGGGGGAGAGUAUAGACCAUUCACUGAGUUUUUAAGCCAAUUUGGUAUCAUCUUUAGACAUCCUUGUCCUUACACUCAUCAUCAAAAUGGGUUAGUUGAAAGGAAGCAUAGACAUAUUGUUGAAUUGGGUCUGACUCUCUUAGCUCAAGCUCAACUUCCCUUUAAGUUCUGGUGGGAUGCAUUUCAUACUGCUGUAUAUCACAUCAACAGACUUCCAUCUCCUGUUUUGCACCUUUUAACCCCAUAUGAAAAGACAUUCAAACACAAACCUGAUUAUGAUUUUCUCAGAUGUUUUGGGUGUUCUUGUUAUCCUUACUUGAGAGAUUACAAUAAACAUAAAUUUGCCUACCAUUCUAGUAAGUGCAUAUUCAUUGGUUACAGUCCUUCACAUAAGGGCUACAAAUGUUUACACCCUUCAGGUCGAGUCUAUGUGGCAAGACAUGUUACCUUUGAUGAAUCAGUUUUUCCUUAUGCCACUGAGUUUGUUUUUCAUAGUCAUGCUAAAACUGAUUCUCAAAUUUCUCAUUCCCAUACACCACAGCAAAUCCAUCAUAUCUCUUCUUUGCCUGUCAAUAACAGCACUGGUAAUCUGAACUCUGUAAGAUCUGGAAGCAGCAGUUCAAGUCACUCAGAUCAUCUAGAACAGACAGCAACUGAUCAGAAUUCACAACAAGCUACCAUAAAUGACAGGUCACCUUUUCAUACAUGUCCAACAAUUGUUGAAUCUAUACAAAAUAUUCCAGAACCUCCACAUCACUCUUUGCCUAUACAAAGUCACCAUCCUAGCAACACUUCUUUCUAUCCAUAUACACAACCAAAUACACAUCAGAUGAUAACCAGAAGUAAAGCAGGGAUUUUCAAACCCAAAAUUUAUACUGCUGUGCUUACUCACAAGGAACCAGAUACUGUGCAAGAAGCAUUAAAUGAUUCAAAGUGGCUACAAGCUAUGAGGGAGGAAUAUGAUGCCUUGAUUAAGAAUAAUACAUGGACAUUGGUUCCAAGACAAGCUGAUCAGCAUGUGGUUGGAAAUAAAUGGGUGUAUAGAAUCAAAUAUAAUACAGAUGGAAGUGUAGCUACGUAUAAAGCUAGACUUGUUGCAAAGGGUUUUCAGCAAGUGGCAGGGAUUAACUAUUUUGAGACAUUUAGCCCAGUUGUGAAGUCAGCUACAGUUAGAGUAAUACUUAGCUUGGCAGUGAUGAAUCAGUGGAGAAUAAGGCAAGUGGACGUCAAUAAUGCCUUUUUGAAUGGAGAGCUAACAGAAGAAGUUUUCAUGUCUCAACCUGAUGGCUUUAUUGAUGCUCAGAGAUCUGAUUUUGUAUGCAAAUUACACAAGUCUCUGUAUGGGCUCAAGCAAGCUCCUAGAGCCUGGUAUGACAAGCUUAAAGGAUGCUUAAUAAGCUGGGGUUUCACUACUACUAGUUCUGACACCUCAUUGUUUGUUAGGAAGAUCAAGACAUCUAUGAUCAUAGUUCUUAUAUAUGUUGAUGACAUACUGAUCACAGGUCCAAAUACUGAGGAGCUGGAAGGUUUCAUAACUGAAUUCAGCAAAACUUUUGCUCUAAAGGAUCUGGGAGUGUUAUCUUAUUUCCUUGGAAUUGAGGUAUUAUAUGAUGCAGAUUGUAUGUACUUGUCACAGAGAAAGUAUAUCAGAGAUUUGUUAUCGAAGGUAGAAAUGACUGAAUGUAAGGGCAUUGAUACACCCAUGAGUACUGGCUCUAAACUGCAAAAGAUAGUUCAGGGGGAACUUGGAUACUAUCUUGAAGAUCCAACUCAUUAUAGGAGCAUAGUUGGAGGAAUGCAGUACCUGAUACUUACCAGACCUGAGAUUGCGUUUGCUGUAAACAAGCUCAGUCAGUAUGUAGCUGCACCAACACUACAACAUCUAAUGGCAUGCAAGAGAGUUCUAAGAUAUCUAAAGGCAACUCAAGAUUAUGGUUUAAAAUUUUUCAGAGAAGGAAGCUUAACACUCACUAGUUUUACUGAUGCAGAUUGGGCAUGUGACUUAGAUGAUAGGAAAUCAGUUGGUGCUUAUUGCAUUUAUUUAGGCAAUAAUUUGAUAUCCUGGUCUUCUAAGAAACAAUCAGUGAUAACCAGAUCAAGUGCCGAGAGUGAGUAUAGAGCUUUGGCAUCAGUGAGUGCAGAGCUGACAUGGUUACAAUCCUUAUUUUCUGAGUUGGGAUUAAGUUGCAUAGAAAAGCCAAUCAUAUGGUGUGACAACAUUAGUGCCACUGAACUAGCAAAGAAUCCUGUGUAUCAUUCAAGAACAAAGCAUAUCGAAAUUGAUAUGCACUUCAUUAGGAAUAAGGUUCUUGCUGGUGAGUUGAUUAUUCACUAUGUACCAAGUGAAGAACAGAUUGCAGACAUAAUGACCAAGCCUCUUUCAUUUGUAAGGUUUAACUACUUGAGGUCCAAACUCAAUGUCCAUCUUUGUCCUCUGAGUUUGAGGGGGGCUGUUAGAGCAACUCAUUAUGCUGAACAGAAGAAGGUGAAGACUAAGAUGAAGAAAAUACAGAGCAAGUUACAAGGCAAGUGUGUCAGCAGUGCCAGCUCAGCUAACAGCUCAGCAGAUUAGUUAAAGAUGGUUGUAAGCAUGAUGUGCAUUGUACUGAAGUUAGUUAGCUUUGAUUACAGUUAGUCUUUGGAUUAGUUAAAUGAAGUUACCGUGAUUGCAUACAGGUGAUGCUUUGUAAAAAGGUUAAGCAAAAUAAAAAUCAAAGUUUGUUAAGGAAGUAUCUCCAGAAUUAUCAAUUCAUUUUCUUAGUAACCAAACAACUUUAUUUUCAUUUUCUUUCAAUAUGGAUAUCUGGGGUUUGUUUUGUCUUUUAGGAGCAGCAUUACCUGUCGAAAGUUCAAAGAGCUCACUGAACUUAAGCAUUCGGGGUUGAAAAUGGACGAGAUAUAUGCAGUGGAGUUCAUUGGAGGAGCUACUAUAGUGCCAAAGUUGCAGGUUUGCAAUAUCCGCUUUGUUUUGGUAGUUAGCCCGAGUAUUAAAUUCUUGAGGCGUGUAAGGUAGUGGACUUUAGCCAAUUCAAGAGUAGAAUAUAAUAUGUUUACUUGUUUUGAUCUUAAUCUUUAAUCACUUACCCUGAAUAAGAAAUAAUUUUUUAUAUUUGCUCUGCUAUGAUGUUAUUCGGUGUUAAUAGCUUCGUUUUAUUGCUCUUUUCCGCACAAAUUCUUGAUCUCAAAAGAACUUUUAUUUUGAAUAUUCUGCGUAAGGACAAUCUGAUUUAAUACCAUCAGUGAUUUUUCAUUUUUUCUCUUUAGUUUUAAUAUGUUUGAUAACUGUAUGGUUAAGCAAUCUAUGCAAUUUUAUCUUGUCGUAUGUUUGAGCUCAUUUUUUGUUGCACUUCUGAAUAUUUGGUAUUAAUUAUGUGAUAUCGGACAAUACUAUUAACUUGUUAAUUGCUUAAAUCUAAUAUCUUGUCAAAGUCACUAAUAGCAUUUCAUCAUGCAAUGAGUUAAACAUGGAACAAAUGAUGACAUGCGGUUGUGGAAUGUGUUAGAUCUCUGGGAUUCUAUGUCCUUAUGCUUGCAGGGCAACACAAUACAUU
RNAcentral lists this long non-coding RNA (66961 nucleotides) under Citrus maxima (pomelo). RNAcentral describes it as "long non-coding RNA (CMAX_LNC000214)". Lineage: Eukaryota; Viridiplantae; Streptophyta; Magnoliopsida; Sapindales; Rutaceae. The record is from RNAcentral.